This 54236-nucleotide long non-coding RNA is filed under the name Gossypium barbadense (sea-island cotton). Its description in RNAcentral is "long non-coding RNA (GBAR_LNC010740)". Lineage: Eukaryota; Viridiplantae; Streptophyta; Magnoliopsida; Malvales; Malvaceae. The record is from RNAcentral.
UGGGUCAAAAUCUUAUGCAUCGCUAUUCGUUCGGAUCAAGUCUGAUUCUAUGCUCUAUGUGCUUGUAUACGUUGAUGAUAUUAUCAUUUCUGGUAGUCUAACCACAACCAUAGAUUGGUUUGUUCAGCUGUUAAAUGAUGAAUUUUCACUUAAAGAUAUGGAGGACCUUUACUAUUUCCUCGGGAUAGAAGUUACACGUUCCUUUGGGAGUCUGCAUAUCUGUUAAAAGAAGUAUAUCCGUGACAUUCUCGUUCGGUGUUCGAUGCUCAAUGCGAAGAGUGUUCAUACGCCAAUAGUGAGCUCACCUACUUUGUCUAAAGACGAUGGUGUUUGCUUUGAGGAUCCAACGGAGUAUAGGAGUCUUGCUAGGGCAUUACAGUACAUUGUUCUUACUCGACCUGAUAUUCCGUAUGCUGUAAACAGGGUAUGUUAGUUCAUGCAUAAUCCUACUACUACUCAUAUGGUAGCACUGAAACGCAUAUUGCGGUAUUUGUGUGGCACUAUUGAGCUUGGGCUUUUUUUCGUCCUUCUACUCCUACUACUCGAUUGUCUCUGGUUGGUUAUGCAGACGCCAACUAGGGGUUAGAUUUUAACGACCGGCGGUCGACCUCUGGAUAUUGUAUUUACUUUGGCUACACUCCAAUCUCUUGGUGUUCUAAGAAACAGCAAGUGGUUUCUCGGUCAACAGCUAAAGUGGAGUGUAGGAGUCUUGCUGGGGCUACCAAUAAGGUUACUUGGUUGUUGUCGCUAUUUCACGAGUUGCAGAUUAAGUUUGAGGAUACUCUUACUGUGUAGUAUGAUAAUUCCAGUGUCGUUGCUGUUGCAGCUAAUCCUGUGUUACACUCGAAGUUUAAGCAUGUUGAGUUGGAUCUGUUCUUUGUUCGUGAGAAAAUUGCGGAUGGGACAGUCUUAGUUAAUGAAGUUACUGCGUGUGAUCAAGUGGCUGAUGUUUUCACCAAGCCGCUUUCAAUAACGUCUUUUACUCGAUUUCGGAAUCUUCUUCAAAUCUUGCCCAUAGGAAAGAUGGGUGAAUGUUAAGGUUCAUGUGUAUCAGCUCAAGGAGGCUAGAGUAGUUAGUCAGUUAGUAACAGAAGCAGUUUAUAUCAACUACUAAUCUGUUGAGAGUAGUUGUCCAACAAGUCUGUAUAUACAAUGCUAUUGAUGUGUAAAGUUAAAUAUGUUGAAAUACAGAGAAUUCAGUUCAGUUUAUAUCCAGUUAUUUCUUUCUAAAAUUUGGUGUGUAUUACCUGUUUUCUUUCACCUUGUGAGUUGCAUGGUAGUGCCUGUUCAUCUUACCAUAAGAAAUUUUGGUAUUACUUAUAAAUUCGAAGAUAACAUUAGAUAUCAAUAUGACUUUACACGCUCAUUUCUAGGUAGGAGUAUAUCUAUAAAUGAUUAUAUUUAUGGACGAUUAUACCAUACACUAGUAAUGGUUUAAUCCACAAGAUUAGUAGAGUAACGGCUUUUAAUUUAUAAAAACUAUCUUUUUAUCCUAAUUUAAUAAAGGAAUACUUCAUUUCAUAUAUAUAUGUAUAAAUUAAUAGUUGAUUCCAUAUUUUGUUAGACUAUAUAAUUUAUUUUUGGCAUAAUGAUUUAUUUGGUCCUCCAAUUUUAUAUAAAAAAAAUCAUUUUAGCUAUCCAUUUAAAUUUUCGUCUUUUUUACUUCUUGAACUUGUACUAUUUAUCAAAUCAUUCAAAAUGGAUGAAAUGUUAAUGUUUGUUAAAUUUGCUGACGUGACAUACACAACCAUAUGAUAGUCCAUGUGUACGUUAUGUCAACAAUUAAUUAAAAUUUUAAAUUUUAAAAAUAUUUUUAUAUUUUUAAUAUUUUUUAAUUUUUUUAAAAAUAAUUUUUAAUUUUUUUAAAAUUUAAAAAAGAAUUAUUUGCUGACAUGGCAUCCACAUGGAUGUUAAAAUUGAAAAAAAUUAAAUAAAUGACUAAAAUGAAUUUUAUGUAAAUUUGAAGGGCCCAAUAUAUUAUUAUGCCUUUAUUUUUUAAAAGUUAAUUCUUAUUCAAUUUUCUUAGGUCAAUUAAUCUCACAAUUAUAAUCCUUAAACUUCAAUAUGGUAAAAUAAUAAAACGAUAAUUACAAUGUUAUGUUACAAUUGGAGUCUAAUUAAAAUAACUUAAUUGUUUGAUAAAUGAUUUAUCCAAUAAUAUUUAUAAUAGUAAAAACUAAAAUCACUAAUGAAAAUUAUGUCAGUGGUAUUUUUAUAAUGAAAUUAUUUAAGUGUUAUUAAUCAUUUUUAAUAUUUUUAAAGUAUACAUUUUUUUUCAGAAAACAAGAUUAACAUUUUUUAUUCACAAGAAAAUUCACAUUUUUGUAUAAAAAAUAAGAAAAUAAAGAUAUAAUUUGAUUAUUUCUUAGUACAAUUAGUCUAAUAACCAACUUUAGCGAUAAUGGUAUUAGUACUAUGAUAUUUUAAUAUGAGUGUAUAAUAUACAAUAGGUGUUAGAAUUUUUACUUGGAUAUGUUAAAUUGGUUUUGGAUAGGUUAAUUUAGGUUAUAAUAUUUUCAAUUUUUUGGGUUUAGAUAUGUUUCAAGUUUGAGUUAUUUUACUUCAAGAUAAUUUAGAUUCGAGUUGAUUUUAUAUUAAGAUUCUUUUUGUUGGGUCAUUUUAAGUUUUGAUAUUCAGAUUUGAGACUUGAGUUUGGGUCAUUUUGAAUUACUUGUUCGAAUUAUUUUGAGUUCUUGUGAUUUUAGGUUUUGAUAUUUUUUGAUUUGGAUUGAAUAGAUUUAAGUUGUUGACUUUUUAAAUAAAAUUAUAUUGAAUCAAACUAUGAUUUAAAUUAAUUGGAUCAAAUUUUCAGGUAAAUGCCAGUAUUGAUUGAUCUAAUUCAUGUUGAUGAUCAUUAAAAUUGAUAAAUAACACAUUCUUCUUCUUCUUCUUCUUCUUCUUCUAGGGGAUGAAGGUGAAACAUAAAAAAUGGAUAUGGAUCUUAUAAAUAAAGGCCUACUCAGUCUGGGCUGUUCUCAAAAUGUUAAAGUCGAAAUCUGCAAUUAUUUAGAAGAAUCAAAAGUGGUGGCUUCUCCACAGGUUCCCUUUUCACUUUCCAUGUUUUAGAAAUAUUUAUAUGUAAUAAGUGCUGUAUUUUUUCUAAUUACUUAUUCUAUCGUUGAAUGCUACAGGUAUUAUAUGAUAAUGGCAUAAUUACAACAAUUGAUUCAAUGCCAUUUUAUUAUUUUGGCCAUUGCUUUGGCCUUGAGGCUGGCAAGUCUGAGGCUUCAAUUUCAGUGUUCCCAAACUCUAGCCGAAGGAUUAGCUGCUUGCUAAAUUCGAUUAUCGUUCUUUCUGCCAAAAAUGAUUCCACAUUUGAAUAUUUGCCAUGCCUUGAAAUUGUGAACGUGACCAAAGGUACAAAAUGGACCUAUUCUAAACAUUUCAUGGGAAUUCCUGAAAUGGAGAACACCUUGUACUGGAUGAAUAGUUGAAAUUUUAUGGGAGAUGAACUAGAAGCUGGUGAUCAUAUUAGUCUUCGGGUUGUUUCAGAUUUAUCUGUGCUUGAGUUUGGCGUUGAGUUGUAUAUGAUUAUGAGCUAGACGAUAAACCAAGCUCUCUUCACCGGUUGCUAGGGAUGAGUAAAGAUUCUAGUUAUCUUUUUGGGGUUUUUGUUUAUCUUUUGGCGAAAUCUCAAAGAACCUUGUAUAGGAUGCGAGUUUUGUCAAAUGUUGAUUAUUGUAGGAUUUAAUAGGAGCAAAUCAUUAUUGUGUUUACCCUUCAUGCCUAUCAUAUGAGGGUAGAUUCUAGGAGUUUGAAUUGGUCUUUCUACUGGUUUGAUGGUCUGGUACACUCUGAAUUUUUGACUCCUUAAAAUAAGGGAUAGUUUUAUGCUACCUCUCCAUCUCUAUGUAUUAAGGCCUUGGGCUUUCUAUCAAAAGCAUCUCAAAACUUGUUUUCUCUUAUUAAUAUACUUGCGUAUUUUUGGAAUCUUUUAGUUAAAGGUUUUCAUUAGUUGUUGGUAUUUGAAGGUGUAUAUAAUUUGCUAAACCUUAUAAAAUUGGGUGUGUUCUUUUAUAUUUAUUAUUUGCAUUUAUUAGUUUUCCUAGUUGAUUUAAUCUACUACUUUUGGGUAGUUUUAAUUUGGUAUUGGUGUUCCGUACAUUAGUGUGAGAUAUUAUCAAGUGUCCUGAACAAUUGAUAUUAGAGUCUCGAUGAAAAAAUAUUAAUUUUUUAGUAUGUUUUCUAGUUGCGUAAAAGUGCAUAUAUAGAAAAACUUUUCACUAGGAGCCACUUUGAAUAUUGUCUUUCCUAAAAAAAUAGUUAAAAUUGUCUCUACAUGAAGAAAAUAUUGUUUAUGUUUGAUUAUCAACCAUGAACCACCAUGGAAGAACACAUCAUAACUUUUUAUCAGUUAGUUGCAAACUUAUUGAGUUUGGAUGAAACCUUCAAAGAUGAAGAUUUGACUUUAAUGUUGUUCAUCUCUUUCUAAUGAACUUGAAUACAUUAAAAUAGUCUUACUUUGUGAAAAGGAUAAGGUAACAUUUAAUGAAGUUUGGUUCUUUGUAUAGUAUGAGCUUAGGAAAAAAAGCUAAAAAGAAAGGAAGAACCAAAGUAAUAGAAGCAUUGAUAGCACAUUAUCGUUCAAAAAGCCAAAAACCAAAAAGAAUAGGGAGAUCAAAUUCAAAAGCCAAACUUGGAAAAGAUGAAUGUGCCUUUUAUCAUGAGAAAGUCAUUGGAAGGAAACUAUCUAAAGCUAAACAAAGACAAGAAUGCAUCAAAUGCAUGUGUUGUAAAGCAAGAUAUUAGUGACUCUAAAAUAUCAUUGGUUACUUUACCAUCAUCACCCCAUUCAGAUGAGUAGGUAUUGGAUCAAAUCGCACUUAUCAUAUGUCCCCUAAUUGGGCAAUAACAACGCAUGUAAAAUAGUUGGGGUAAGUUCAAUCAACUUAAAAAUUAGGAUGGAAGAACCAGAGUUCUAAUCAAUGUUCUGUAUGUACUCACUUUUAAAAAAAAAAGUUUAAUCUUUUUGGGAGUCUUGGAACCCAAAUGUUUAGUUGUUAUAAUGAGACAUGGAAUUUUAAAAGUAACAUUUGGAGAACUUGUGGAAAUGAAAGGCAUUAGGUAAAAUAACUUAUAUUACUUCCAAGGUAGUACAAUUAUUAAGGCAAAAAUUAUAGCAUCCAAUGAUGACAAACCAAAUUUGACCAACUUGUGGUAGAUGUGGUUAAGACAUCCUGGUGAGAAAUCUUUGCAAAUUCUAACAAAGCAAGGAUUGUCGAAAGAUGCAAAGGCUUCCAAGUUAGAAUUUCGUGAGUAUUGUGCUCUAGGAAAACAAAAGAGAGUGAAGUUUGGCUUUGCUAUCCAUGAUACUAAAUGUAUUUUGGAUUAUGUUCACUUAAAUGUGUGGGGGCCCUCCAAGACACUUUCGUUGGAAGGAAAACACUACUUUGUGACUUUUGUUGGUGACUUUUGUUGAUGAAAACUAAGGAUGAAGUGCUUGAAAAUUUUCUUAAUUGAAAAAUUAUGAUUAAAAAUCAAACGAGCAAAAAAAAAAAAAACCAAAAGGUUUAGGAUAGAUAAUGAAGUGGAAUAUAGAAGUGGUAUAUUCUUUGAUGUUUGCUAAAAGUAUAGUGUGGUUUGACAUUUCAUAGUUAGAAAUGCACCAUAUUAUAAUGUGGUGGCAUGUAUAAAAUCCAAUGCUGGGUUGGGCAAACAAUUUUAGCCUGAGGCUAUGACAUAUGUUAUUCAUAUCAUUAAUCAUUUGCCAUCAUUUGCAAUUGAAGGAAAAAUACCUUUGUACGUAAUGUUUGAAAACCUGUUACCGAUUAUGAUUCCUUACAUGUAUUUGGAUGAACUGCUUAUUACCAUGUAAAGGAGUCAAAACUAAAUCCGAGAUAAAAGAAAGCUCUCUUUGUUGAAUCACCUUUGGAGUAAAGGGAUUUUGACUUUUGUGUGUAUACAUGAAGAAAAUAAAUUUUAGUAGUGAUAUUACUUUGGAUGAGUUUGCCAUGUUGAAAAAGAUAACAGAUGAAGAUGUUUAGAAAAGUGAUACUCUUUAGCAGGUGGAGUUUGCUCCAUGUUGGAAAAAAUCUGAUUUGAAAAUAAUUUUCUUACACAAUAAAAAUAAAAAUUUUGAAAAUUGACCCAGUUUGUAAUAUUUAUAGCAAUAAACCCUAAACCAAAUUUGCACCUGUGUUUUUAGAUAGACGAAUCCUUGACAUUUCUGGCUUUCAACCAAAUGAUUUUCUCCAUUAUUCUCAUACCACGAACUGCUUCGAGUGUGGGCUCAGACGAUUCUAAUCAAAACACAAAACUAGAAAUAGGUUUCUUUUCUUUUAGGUAAAAAGGAAAAAUCUCUUCUCAAAUAGAAACCGAUAAAAUUGUUAUUCUAGAAAAAUAGAUUUAAUAAUUGAGAAUUAAUUCUCUCUAUUUUUCGGUUGAGUAACAAUAUCUUCAAGUUGUGUUAAUAGCCCUAUCGGUACCAUCUAUUUAUAGGAAGAAGAAAUAGAACCAUUGUUGAAUUGUAGAAAUUUAUUUCAUCUAGAAAAAUGAAUUUCUAGUCUAACUAGGAGUAUAGAGGGCAACAACCCUAGUUAAUAAUACUAGGGUUUGCCAUCCAUCCCUUUAACAUGAGGAGCUUUUGGGCCUCUCCCAUAUCAAGUUCAAUUACAAGUAGUUUCUGGGCUUUUAAGCCAAUACUUUAUAAUUUGAUCCAACUCGAUAUUUGUUUUUCUAUUUCCCAAAAUAAACAUCUCAACAUAUUUCCAAUUAAAUAAUCUUCUCAAGCCAAUUCUAAUUCUAUUAAAAUCAUGGCAGCUUUACCGUAAAAGAAUCUAUGAGAAAAUUUAUUUAAUAAUUUUAUCUUCAAUAGUUCAGUAUGAUCAAAUGAUUUAUUUCCAUUUUGAACUUCAUUUAAUUCGAAAAAUAUAAAUUCAUUUUCAAGUCAUUUUUGUUGGCCCGAGCUUUAUUUAACAAAAUCAUUUUGAUAUAAUAAACACUAUGUUUUGAAUAAAAAUCAUUUUAAACAACACUUGGCAAAAUUUGUUCUUUAGAUCAUACCUAAAAUAUAAAGAUGUCAAAUUUAUACUUCGAAAAUUUUCCAAGGCCAAGUUAAUUAAAAACAAUACUUCAAAUAUUUUCAAACAAGUUAAAAAUGCUUCAUGCCAAAAACUAUCGAUACUUUUUGUUAGGUAUUGAUAAAUUUAUAAAAAGAUUGAUACCAAAAUAGGCUACUGACAUGAAAAUGAGUUACUAAAUACCGAUACAGUAUUGAUACAUUUUUGCUUGGUAUCAAUAAAUUUUAAAUGAUAUCGUUUUUGGUACACUUUAUUGAUACAUUUUUUAGUAUAGAUACAAAAUUAGCAUUAUUCCAUUUUGAGGUAUUCAUUAAGUAUCAAUACCUUUUAUUUGGUAUUGAUAAUUUAUCUUGGUAUCAAUUUUAUCGAUUUUAACAGUCACUAAAUCAAGGCAUUAAAUGGAAAAAUUAUCGAUACUUUUUGUGUCAUGUGAAUUAAAUGCACUGGUAUUUUCAUCCCAAUGGCUCUAUUAACUUCCACAACAACCAUAAUGGUUGGAAAUCAAUUAGAGGGUAUAAAUACCAUCUUCCAAAGUACCUACAAAAACAAGAAAGAGAAUUAAAGCUAAAAGAUCAAUCAAACAAUCUUUGUGCUCAAUUUUUCCAUACUUUUCUGACAUACACUUGUGAGCUUGAUUACUAUUCUAUCAACUCAAGUAUACUUCUUCGUAAUUGUGUUUAAUUGGAAAACACUUUAAUCUUUUAAGGAUUAUUUUUUUGUUUGCUUAUUUGUAUUUUUUGAGAGGAUUUGUGUCAUAAAGCUUAAGGAAGUUCGUAAGGUUAAACCUUAUACUUGAAGGUUGUCAAAUUAGUGAAUUUAGAAAAAUCCUUAGUAGUGGAAAGCUAAGGUAAUGGAGUAUGCAAUUGGGGCCGAACCACUCUAAAAUUUUAGGUUCAAUUUUUUGUAUCUUUACUCUCUAGCAUCCACAAAAUUUUUAAAAAUUCAAUUCACCCCCUUUUAGAAAUUUCAAUUUACUUAUUUGAGCUAAAAAUUGGUAUUAGAGCUAGUCUCUAUUUGACAGUUUUACAACCAAGAGAAGAUCCUUAAGAUAGCUCAACUUUUUGCCAAUAAAUCCACAAAAGAUGACGUCAACAUCCAAUUUAGUUUUUCUUGGAGAAUCACAAUCUAUCUCCAAGCCUCUUUAGUUCAAUGGUGCCAACUAUUCCUAUUGGAAGACAAGAAAGAUGUUGUUCAUGUAAGCAAAUGAUCUUGUCGUAUAAGACAUCACCAUGGACAAUCCCUCCAUACCUCUCAAGUAAGAAGAAGAGUUCUUUAUUUCAAAAAGUAAGAAAGAGUGGAAUGAGGAAGAUAAAAGGAGUAUUUAGUUAAAUUCCAAGGGUAUGACACCUUAUUUUGUGCACUUGGCCUGAAAGAAUAUAUUAGAGUAUCAUCUUGUUCUAAUGCCAAGGAGAUACAAGAUAAGCUUGAAGUCACACAUGAACAUAUCAGCCAAUUAAAGAAGUCUAAAGUUGGAAUUCUUACUCUAAAUUAUGAAACCUUCAAAAUGAAGCUCGAGAAAGAUAUCAAGUUGAUGUUCGAUCGGUUUACUAUUAUCAUCAAUGGAUUAAAGUCUUAUGAGUAACACCCCUAACUUGAAUCCGUUGCUAGAACAGGGUUAAAAAGCAUUGCCUGAGUUUACAAAUCAAACAGACAGAAAAUGCAAACGUUUCAUAUCAUAUGACAUUCAUGUCAAAAACCAAUCAAAAUUAUACAUAUUUCCCCUUAUACGAGCCCUCGAAGCCCAAAAUGCACAUUACAAACAAGUUAGGACUAAAUCGGAUACUCAAGGAAUUUUUUGGAAAAAAUUGAAAAUUUUCAAAGCUGCAGGGAUCACACGGCUGUGUGGCCAAGCCGUGUGACUCACACAGCCAAGAGACACGUCCGUGUCUUAGACUGUGUGGACAUUUGAAAAUAGGGACACACGCCUGUGUCCCAGCCCAUGUCCGUGCCAGUGUAACUACUUGACUUGGGCCACACGGUCAAGCCACACACCUGUGUGCUAGGCCCUGUGAGCAUACUAACUUGUGCAAUUUAAAAGAUACAGGGGACACAUGCCUGUGUCACCUGACCUUGUGUCACACAUGACUGAGACAGACGCCCGUGUCUUUGCCUGUGUGGAUGAAAAUAGGCAAUUUUCCAAGCCACAUUUCUCACCCAAUUUGGUACCAACCUAAACACAACAAUUUGCACAUCAACAAGUCAUAAUAAGGCAUUCAAAACAAGCAAAAAUUAAGUCUUAAACAUGAAAUAUCACUACAUAUAACCAAUAUGCCCUUAGGCACCUCAAAUGACAACUUAAAGACAUGUCAACCAAGUAUCUGAACUUAGCUAAAUGACCAAAUUCAUAUAUACAUAUUCAAACCACAUUUUACUUUCUUUUAUUCUACCAUAUCAAUCACACAUCAAACAUGAUAAGAUCACCUAUAUAUAUGCAUCAAAAUAUACCAAACACAGGCUAUAUAAGUGGCUAAUCUCAACAAAACAAUUAUAUGCCAACAUUGGUCAAAUUAACCUAUAUAUGCCAUUAUAAUUGGAAUUAAUUUACCGAAAGUACCAAAAGGACUGAUGGAUAGUGUGAAAUAGCUCCAACCAGCUUCCAACCCAUACGAGCUUUCGAAUUACUAUAAAACUGGAAAAUAACACAAAGUAAGAAUUUAAGCUUAGUAAGUUCGUAUAAGACAGAAUUUAACUUACUAUAUAUCCAUAAAAUAGGUAAGUAAACAAAACAUAUCUCAACCAACUUGGCCAAAAGCCUAAACACAUGAUCACCAACAUAUUAGAGAUGAAAACUACAUAUAAGAUCCAACACACAUGGUUGAAUUCAUCAAAUAAUCAUAUUUCAUGUAUUUCAUGUAAAAACCAAUAAUAAUUCAUAUCGAACUCAUAUUAUUUUGUAACAGAACUGUGUCCGUUGAACCAUUUAGAAUAUCAUUGGAUACACGGGUAGAACACACGAAGUGUACUUAACUGUAAUCCGCCAAUUCAUAUACAUGUAUGCUCAUACGAGCUAAAUAACGGGAAGCUCAUCCGAGCUGAAUAACGAGAAGCUCAUACGAGCUGAAUAACGGGAAGCUAAUAUGAGCUGAAUAACGGGAAGUUCAUGCAAGCUGAAUAAUGGGAAGCUCAUAUGAGCUGAAUAGUGAGAAGCUCAAGCGAGCUGAAUAACGAGAAGCUCAUGCGAGCUGUGGUGUAUCUGCAACACAUGCAGGACCCAAAGCAAAUCGGUAGCCCUAAUGACAUGUCAUUUGUAUCCUACAAAUUUAUAAGGUUCAAACGAGACUCGAUAAUCGUCGGAUAUGCGAUCGGUAUUUAUACAUGAAAAUUAUACAAAUUACAAACAAAUAAUUCAAUUUAAAACAUAUAAAUGUACAAUUUAAUUACACGAACUUACCUCGACAAGUGUACGUAGAUAUGAAGGCGACUAAUUAGAUAUUUCCUCAUUGCCUCGAUCUAACUCUGUAAGAGAUCUGGCAGGAUCUAUACAAAUGAAUUUAACUUAUUUCAAUAUAAUUCUCAUUCAUUUUAAUCUAACAUGGAAUUUUUUCAAAAUUAUCAUUUUACCCUAACUUUUAAUUCCUUUGUAAUUUAGUCCCUAGGCUCGAAAAUGACAUUCAUACAAUUUAAUCCUUACUCAAGCCUAGUAGAUUUUAUACAUAUUAAUAGCAACCCAUAUAUUUCACAAAAUUCACAAAUUUUACCAUAAAUUUAUCAUCUUUUUCAAUUUAAUCCCUAAUUGACAAUUUCAUCAAAAUUCUCUUUACAAAAAUUGUUUAUCUAACAACAACCAUUCAUUUUCUAUCAUCAAACUUCAAAAUUCAAGCAUAUUCAUCAAUGGAAAAACCCUAAUGCUUUAACAGUUUUGCAAAUUAAUCCCUGAACUAGCUAGAUUAAGCUAUUACGAUAUCAGAAACAUAGAAAUCAUAAAAAACGAGACAAAAAUUCUUACCUAAUUGAGAAAAAUAAGCUUGCCUAAAUUCUCAAGCUUCCAUGGCUAGGUUUCUUUUUUUUUUGGUGGAUGAUGAUGAGAAUAGAUUAUUUUUUUUAUUUAUUAUAACUUUAAUCACUAAUUUUCCAAAAUUAACCUUAAUAUUUCAUUCAAUUUCCAAUGAUGACUAUUCAUACUUAUCCACAAAACAUUUUAAUGGCCUAUUUACUAUAUAAAGACCUCUAAUUUAAAAUUUUAUAGCUAUUUAAUACCUUUAGCUAUUAGAAUACAACCAUUGCAGUUAAUGCGAUUUAGUCCUUUUUAUGAAAUUAGGCAUGUAAAUGGUAAAAUUUCUUAACAAAAUUUUUAUACAUAUUUCUAUCAUACUGUAGACCAUAAAAUAAUACUAAAAUAAAUUUUUUGACUUUGAAUUUGUGGUCUCAAAACCACUAUUUUAAUUUCACUAAAAACAUGCUGUUAUAUGAUGGGAAGACAUAUCCAAAUGAAAAGGUGGUAAGGAAGAUGCUUCGAAGCUUGCCUAAAGCAAAGGAAGCCAAGGUAAAUGUAAUUGAAGAAUUAAAGAAUUUUGAAAUAUUAACUUUGAAUGAGCUCAUUGGUUUUUUUCUUACACAUGAGAUAGUUGAAGAAGCCAAAAUUGAGAAGAAGGUUGGAGUUGCUCUUAAAUCCACCAAUGAAGAUAGUGAAUUUAGUGAAUAAGUGGACAAAGACAAAGAGAUGGUCAUGUUUGUUAAAAGAUUCAAGAUAUUUAUGAAAUCCAACAAAGGAAGAAGAUUUCAAAGGAAGAAAGGAUUAAAACUUGAAUCCACCAAGGAGAAGGAUCCCAUAAUAUGCUAUGAAUGCAAGAAGCUGGAACAAAUCAAGUUCAAUUGUCCUCAAUGGAAGAAAAAGAGAUCUAGCAAACAAAAACACAAGGGCAACGUGGCUACUUGGAGUGAUGAAUAUUCUUCCGACGAAGAAGAGCAAGAAGUAGCUAACUUUGCCUUAUGGCCAUUGAUGACUUUAAGGUAAUUUAUAACUCAUCUAGUUCAAUUUAUUAUGCAUUUGAUAAAUUACAAGAUGCCUAUGAUGAGUUAGGUUUGGAAUUUGAAGUCAUUGUUUCAAAGUAUAAGAAAAAUAUUUAUGAGUGGAAAAAUGAAAAUGACUUGCUUUCCAAAACUGAUCAUGAACUUGAAGAGAAAGUGAACAAAAUGCAAGAAAUCAUUAAUGAUUGUGAGAAGAAGAAUUUAGACUUGCAUAAUUUACUCUUACAAGUUCAUGAAUAUCAUGAAUAGCAGCUUGAGUAGCUUAAGAGUGAAAAAGCUCACUCUAAUAGAGUUUUUCAAACUAGGUUUGAAAAAGGAGAAAAUUCUAAACAAAACUUUGUUGAAAAUAGCUUUAAUCAAUAUAAACAUAGAGGUCCUUUUAAAACUUAUAAAGGAAACUUAGUUAGAACUAUAUGGGUCCCCAAAAGAAUUAUUACUACUAAAGAUAAGGAUAUCCUUUCUAAAUGGAUAUCUAAAGGGACUAAAAUCUUGGAAACUAAUGCCUAUGGACCCAAAAGAAUUUGGGUACCAAAAAUGAAAAAUUAAUUCUAUGUUUGUAAGAAAAUGAGAAUUAUUUCAAGGUGGGAAAUUCAAGCAAAAACUCAUUGUACCUUGAUAGUGGAUGUUCAAGGCACAUGACCAGUGACAAGAGCGAUUUUAGUGAAUUGAAGCUAAAAAGUGGAGGACAAGUUACAUUUGGUGACAACUCCAAAGGACUUAUUGAGAGAAUUGGCUCCAUUGGUAAAACAUCUUCAAACUUUAUUGAAAAUGUUUUGUAUGUCAACGGUCUUAAGCAUAAUCUAUUAAGUUUUAGUCAAUUAUGUGAUAAAGGUCUUAAUUUCAUCUUUGAAUCAAAUGGAUGUAAAGUAAUUAACAUUGUGUCCAAUAAGAUUAUGCUUGUGGGACAUAGGAUAGGAAAUAUUUACAUGGUGCAUUUAGAUGACAUGCAUGAUUCAAACAUAUGUCUUAUCACUAAAAAUGAAAAUAAUUCUUUAUUGUGGCAUAGAAAAUGACAUGCUAGUAUGAGAAUAUUGCAUAAACUAGCCAAAAAUGACUUAGUAAAAGGUUUGCCAAAAAUUGAUUUAGAUUUUGAUAAAGUUAGUGAUGCAUAUUAAAAACAAACACAAGAGAGUUUCUUUUAAACCUAUAAAUGAUGUAUCUACUAGUAGAGUUCUUUAAUUAAUUCACAUAUAUCUUUUUAGACCAAUUAGGACUACUAGCUUGGGUGGAAAAAAAUAUGCUUUUGUCCUUGUAGAUGAUUAUUUGAGAUUUACUCGGGUUCUUUUCUUAAUUACUAAAUAUGAAGCUUUAGAAAAAUUCAUCACAUUUUUAAAAAUUAAUCAAAAUGAAAAAGGUUACUCUAUCACUAGUGUUAGAAGUGACCAUGGAACUGAAUUUCAAAAUCUUGGUUUUGAAAAUUUUUGCAACUCAAAUGGGAUUAGCCAUAACUUUUUAAAACCUAGAACCCCUCAAUAAAAUGGAGUUGUUGAGAGGAUAAAUAGAGUUGUAUUGGUGGCUUGGGAUGCAUAGCAUAAGGGCUAUUAUGCGCUUCCCGCAGAAUUGUCUGCCUCAAAUCCACAUCAUUCGACAUGAAAACUUGACCUUUGAAACAUAGAACACCUUCACUAUUCAACCCAAACUUUGAAGUCUUACCGUCAUCAAUCUGUUGAACCCGACUAACCAAAGACUCUUCCAGAAGCUGCUUAUCACGAAUCUCAUCAACCCAAGUCGACUUAACUUGCAACUAAACCAAAACUCCACUAUCCUCAAACAAACUUAGGCGAGCAAAUAUCUCCCUCAACUCAGACAUAGAUCUCCAACUAAGAGCAUCUACCACAACAUUGAUCUUACAAUGAUGAUACUCUAUGGUGUAGUCAUAAUUCUUAAACAACUUAAUUUAUCUAUGUUGUCAAAGAUUCAACUCCUUCUGAGUGAAGAGGUACUUAAGGCUUUUGUGAUCAGUGUAGAUGAUACACCUCUUACCAUAUAGGUAAUGCCUCUAGAUUUUUAGUGCGAAGAAAAUUGCAACUAACUCAAGAUCGUGCAUCAGAUAGUUGCCCUCAUGCGGCUUAAGUUGUCUAGAUUCAUAAGCCACCUCCUUACCCUCUUGUAUCAAAACACAACCCAAACCAGUGUGAGAUACAUCACUAUACAUAACAAACUCCUUUCUGGAUUCAGGCUGUAUCAAAAUAGGUGCCUGAAUCAAAAUUGAUUUAAGCUUCUCAAAACUCGAUUAUUGAUCAUCAGUCCACACAAAGGGCAUGUUCUUACGCAAUAGUUUAGUCAAGGAAACUGCGAUCAACGAAAGCCCCUCUACAAACCUCUGAUAAUACCCUGACAAACCGUGAAAGCUCCGAACCUUAGAAACAUUCCUAGGUUGUUUCCACUCAAGAACAGCCUCAAUCCUUUUAGGGUCCAAACAGAUACCCUCGGCAGAUACAAACCUUAGAAACAUAACUUCCCUCAACCAGAACUCACAUUUUCUCAACUUAGUGUAGAGCUUCUUCUCUCGAAGAAUCUAUGAAACCACUAUAAGAUGCUCAUCAUGUUCAGUCUUGGUCUUAGAGUACAUCAGAAUAUCGUUGAUAAAUAUCACAAUGAAUUGAUCCAAAUACGACUGAAACACCCUAUUCAUGAGAUCCAUUAAUACAACUGGAACAUUUGUCAAACCAAAUGGCAUUACAAGGAACUUGUAAUGACCAUAAUGAGUCCUAAAGGCACAUCAGGUUCUUUUACCUUCAACUCACGGUACUUGGAAUGGAGAUUAAUCUUGGAGAACACAGACACUCAUUGGAAUUAAUUGAACAAAUCGCUGAUCCUCGAUAGUGGAUACUUAUUCUUUACCGUUAACUUGUUCAGUUGUCGGUAAUCCACACACAUCCUCAUUGUACGAUCUUUAUUCUUUACGAAGAUUACUUGUGCUCUCCACGGAGACACACUAGGUCUAAUAAACCCUCUAUCGAGAAGCUUUUGAAGCUUAACUUUAAGUUCCUUCAGUGUUAUACGGUAAGGAGGAAUGGAAAUCGGAGUUGUCCCUAGUAGAACCUAAUUCUUGAUAAGAUAUUAAAGUAACAUAUUUUAAUCCCAAUUUUAAUGUGUUUUUGGACAAUUAAUUAUGCAAAUAGUGAAUUUGAUACUCCUAGUCCUUUAAAUUCAUAUUUCUAUACUUCGGAGAGCAUUUGGGAGCGAAAGGAGAGAAAAACGAGCCAAAAAAAUAGAGUUAUUUUCAGGAGCCACACGGCAUGGACAUUUCCACACGGGUUGGACACACGUCCAUGUGCCAGCCUGUGUUAAUUUUGCAUCCUACUUCCCAAAUACAGGGAAAACCCUAAUUUUUAAGCUUUCUGAGCAUUCCAAAGUCUAUAAAUACUAAUUAGAAGAAGACCUAAGGAGGCAAUCAGAGAAGAUAAGAGAAAACACUCGAAAAACACCAUCGGGAUUAACUAGGAAGCGGAUUCAUCAAGAUCAAAGAUCUCCUUUUAAUUUCUUUCGAAGUGUUAUUGAGUUUUUUUAUGUCUUGUGGUUAUUCUAAAUUUGAGAUGUUUUCAUUCAAGAUUAUGAACUAAUUCCCUAGAUACCUAUGGAGGAUGAAACCUAUGAUGAAUCCUUUUAUUUAAUUUCUAUUUUACGCGAUAAAUACUUGAUUCUUCUUCUCAUUUAUGUAUGUUUAUUUAUUGUUUUAAUAUUUUCGGGAUAUUAAUUCAUGUUUAAUAUGCUUAUUUUAGUGGAAGAAAAAUCCCUGUUUAAGAGUAGAUCUAGCAUAAUUGAGUGGAGUUGCAUGCAAUCCUAGAAAUAUGAUGACAUAAAUGUACCUGAUUAGAGUCAAAUCUAAUAAGAGAAUCCAUAGACCGAGUUAAUGUGAUGAUAGGGGUUUUAAUUAGAAAGAGAUUUCAAUUAAUCAACCUAGAGUCAGUUGUUCUUACUCUUAAAAGAGAUAUUAACAUAAUUUAGGGAUUUCUACGGAUCAAGACACAAGUGAAUAAAUCAUUUAAUUCAAAUUCAUAAUAAUAGGUGAAGUCUAGGUGAAUUUUUUUCUGGGUAUUGUCUAUCUCAUUGGUUGAUAUUCGAUUAUCUCUUUGAUUCAUUCUCUGUUGCGUUCUUAGUUAAAUUGAUUUAGUAAAUUUAGAUUAAAACACAUCACCCCAAAUUGUCUGCUAAAUAAUACAAAAAAUAGUAAUUACUAAUACUUUUAGUCCUCAUGGAUAAGAUAUUCUCUACUCACCAUUACUAUACUAUUGUUCGAUAGGUGCACUUGCCUUUGUUGUAUUUAUAAUUAGUUUAGUGACCAUCAAGUUUUUGGUGCCGUUGCUGGGGACUAAAAUAUUAGGAACACUCAAUUUUUAUUAAUUUAGCCAUUUUUAUUUUUAUUAUAAUCAUUUUGUUUUUUUAGUUUAAUUUUUACAGUCUAAUUUUUCUUUUAUUUGCUUCUGGCAAGUUCCUUUAGUUUAUGACUAUAAGAAACUCGUCAGGACCAUUGUUAUUUGAUAGUGAAAUCAAAAGUACAACUCGUAGAAACCAUAAAGAAGAAAGGCAGAUUCGAGAGAAUUUAGUAGUCGAACGAGAGGAAAUUGUUAUUACUGAGGAGAUGGGUGAUAACGAGAAUAAUCAGCUACCUCCUACAGUUGUUGUAGAUCCAGAUCGUGUUCCUCGUACUAUGUAUGAUUAUGCCAAGCCUAUUUUAGCUGGGUCUGAAUCGGGUACUGUGAGACCCACUGAAAUGAUGGAAAUGUGUAAGUGUACACAAUCGCAGCAAGUAAUAAAGUGACAAGUAAAUGUCGAGUUAUCGUACUCACAAGAACUGUGGAAAGAACUAUUUAUGAAUGUUAUUUAAAAAACUUUGGUGAAGAAAAAUAUUAUGUUUGAAGAAGGUGAUUAAAAACUAAGAUUUUAAACUAAGUAAAGUAAAUAAAUAAAUCUCAAAUGGACGAUUUCAAAAUACGAGUUUAAUCAAGAUGACAUAAUUGUAUUAGAUUAAUUACAUUUCUUAUCUUAGAAUUAUUAAACUCAUGUUUAUAUUGUUACGAAUAAAUUCACAGAAACUUGGUAAAUUGGUAACUUAUAAACAUACUCACCUACCAAAAUCCAUUCAUCUCUUGGACAUAUCUCCAUGUGAGUUCAAUCGAUUGAACAAAUCUUAAUAGGCAAAUAUGUUAUAGCACAUACAUACUUAUUAAAUUGAAAUAAUCUCUUAAACAUAUCCCCAUGUCAAUUCAAACAAUUAACUCGAUUUAAUAAGCACAUAAAAGACUAUGUGAGGUAACAAAGUAUCCUUACCUUGAAACAGUUUAAUCACAAUAAUCUUGCAAGUUAUGCAACGCAAUUGUAUCGUCAGAUACUGUUGCUAAUUUAACCCUCAGCUACUUUAGAUGAUUAAACAUGCACUGAUUAAGUACUGUGUCUAUUAAUUACAAUUUCAAUUCGUUUAAAUAAUUAAUUCAUUAGUUACCUAACAAUUGUAUUGCAAGAAUAACUUAGUCAUAAUUUUACUUAAUCAAGCAUCUUACCGAAGCCUAUAACAACAUAAACACAAUUUUAACAAUUUAAGAAGAUGAAAUGCAAUCAACCUGAAAUGAAUUAAAUUCAAACUAAAUUGAUUAAAUUAACCAUUCCAACAAAAUAAAUAUUCAUAGAUAUGUUCAUCAUAACAACAAAAAAAAUUAAAGAGAUAGGGAACAAGAAUCAAAUAUGGUGUUUUUUCGUGGCUUGACUAGCUUGCUCCGUUCUUCGUCUGUUGUCCUUGUCGAUCAAAGCUACUAUGAACACUUCAAUAUUGGUCCAAAAUGGCUGAUGAACACCCCUAGUGCAAGGGAAGAAAUCGGCAAGAGAGCAAGAGAAUUUAGAGUGGCAAAGAAAAGGGAAAGUGGAGAGAAGAGAGAAAAGAUGCGAAUGAAUUGAGGUGUGUUUCAAAUGAUCAGCUUAAGAGGGUUUUUAUAGCUGAAGAGGGCUGCUAAAAAUAGCUAAAAUUAGCAGCCAAAGAGCCCUCCCUUGGCUGGCCACACAUGUGGAAGUUUGAUGAUUUCAAACUUGCUAAAUUAAGCCUGGGGCAAAUCUAGAAAGCCACCAUUUGUGGAGGGGUUUGAAUGCUAUUUGAACAAGUCUUCAAGGGCCUCUUUGCAAGCUAAAUAAUCAGCCAAUAAGCUAAUUUGGGUUAGCACAUAGGGCGGUUUUGGGUUGUCCAUUACUUGGUCGGUUCGGUUAACUCGGUUCAGCUCAACUGGACCACUUUUCAUAAUUUAUUAAUAAUAAUUUAUUAACCCAAAUUAAAUUGGAUAUAAAUUAAAAUUAAUUAUGUUAUGACUGAAUAUACAUAAUUUUAGACCCUCUGUCCUCGGCCCAAACCAUUAAUACCCUAACCUGAAAACGAACCCUAGGAGGCUGUUGUAUUUCCCUCCCAUGGAUGAACCAAACUCUGAAUCGAAAUUUGCACCUGAUCAACCAGAUACGAAUAAUCUUUAAUUCGGUUUUUGAAAGACUGACACGGUAGAAACACUCCUGUGCCCCUCCAACACUCGCCCAAAUGGCAUCUACCACAGCCACCACAGAUCUGAAUCCUACCAAUACCAACCAUCGCCUUAACCUAUUGAGGCCUAUCAAACCCGGACCGUUCCUUAGGCUGUGGAGUUAAACUAGAAGAACACAAAUCCCUCUUGUUCUUAUUCUAUCCUUUUUCUCGCUCCUUCCUCUUGCGCUUAAUUUUAGUCUUCUCCACCAACGUUUCGAAGACUCACUCCUACUGCAAAGUUACCAACACUUUCAAAUCGUAUCGAAGUUCGUCCUCAAAAUGGACACUCUUAUCAUAAUUAGUGGCCACUAAAAUUUAAGCGUACCUGCUUAGAUUUAGAAAUUCGGUCUCAUAUUUGGCUAUAAAUCUCUCACCAUGGGUAAGCCCAGUAAGCUCUAACCUUCAAGCCUCAAUGUACCUUGCCCCUACAUAGUUUUCCUAGAAGGUUCUCUAGGAAAAUGCCCAUUUCACACGCUCAGUGCCUUGCUCUACUAACUGCCACCACUUAUAUGCUUCAUCGCGAAGAAAAUAUUCUGCACCUUUCAAUUUUUGCUCUAGGGUGUAGUCCAAGUUGUUCAUGAUUCUCUCGAUUGCCUCCAACCAAUACUCAGCCAUAGUCGGGGUAAUCCUAGUGAUACCCUUAAAUAGCUUAGCCCUAUUGGACUGAAGUUUUUUAGUUACCUAUCCUCAACCCCUAGUUUCUAAUUGGGUCCCAAUGACCUUCUGUAGAACCCUCAACAUAGCUUGAGACAAUGCAUCAUCCCCAACAAUCUGAGUUUGGGAUUCAAUUUUAGCAGUAGGUGUCCCAACUAUCUCCCUAGUCUCUAAGUUGUGCAUGCUGCCUAGAGAUGGAGAUCAAGUCUAGCCCCUCGAUAACGUCUGUCACACCCUUGAGUAUCGCAACCUCUCGUACCUUGUGUGCUCAUUUUUUAAAUUAUCUAUAGUUUAUAAAUUUUAUGGAUUAGCUUAGGUUAUUAAAAAUCCUAAGUCUAGAGUUUUAUAAGAAUUUUUACAAAAUUAUCACAGUCUUAAUCUAGAGUAGAGUAAUCUUAUCACUACAUUUUACUACUUUGUCUAGUAUAGCUAAAGUAAAAGUAAUUACCAGAUCAGUGUCAGAGUCUCAAAUUUCUCCUUUUAUAGGCUAAAAGAUCAAAUAUAGUCAAAAUCUGAAUGUACGCUUUAAAAAUAAUUUUUCAUGAGAUUUUAAACCCAAAAACAACAGCCUAAAUUUUGAACCUAGGAUCUAAUACUACUAAAUGUAACACCCAACACCCGACCUAGACAUUACAAUCAAAUAUUAAGGAAGUACAUAAACUCGCUUUAAACUCUGAUUUUCAAUUUGGAAACAUAUUUUUUGACUAUAUUCAUUUUGGUUAAACACUUUCUAGUUAUUAGGAAAAUACUUUUUAAAACUAUUUAUUUUAUUACAAAUUACUUCAUUUUGCAGCGGAAAGUUCUAACUUAUUAAUUUUUGCAAAUUGUGACUUAGUUUGUAAAAAUAUAUAAUUUUGUAGUUUAAAAAUAAUAAUUACCAAAUCCCACCAAAAAAAUUCAAAAAUGAAAAAUAAAGUCCAAAAUAAUUUACAGUCCAAAAAGUUAGAAAAAAUCCAAAUUAAACAUAAAGUCCUUUUUGAACUAUUUUUUAUUUUUGAGAAUCCAACCCAAGCUCCCGCACACCGUCCGAUCCUAAGUUUGCUGAUUACCUGAGAGGAUAAAAAAAUAAAUGGUGAGCUAACAAGCUUAGUGUGUAACUCAGCCAUACAAAUAGAACAAAUGUAGAUACAGUAACUGAUAUAGAUUCAGAUACAGAUGCAGAUAUAGAUGCGGAUUCAGACACAGAUGCAAAUAUAGAAAUAGGUACAAAAACAUAUCUUACCCCCAUCCGCUACACAUCAUCUCCGUCCAUCCCUAUACACCAAUUAGGUCAAUCAAUACCCAUCCAACCCCACACACCUAGAAGUGACCGUAUGUCAGUUUUUAGAAUGGUGCAGUCAAGCUACCAGAAAUAAUGCGAUAAUCCGCUAGAAUCAUACAAGUGUGGUCAAGCCACUAAAAUAGAUAUGUGGUAUAAACCACUAGAUAAGGCAGAUCAUUAAACUGCCAACACUUCCUCCGUGGUAUAAUUGUCCCACUCCAAUGCACAUGCACACUAAUCAGAUCUUAGUUGCACAUAAAUCGUACAUGCUUUAUACAUCAGAUCAUGCUAACAUGCUUUCAGAACUAGCACAUACAGAAGCAGAAUAUAAAACUUAAUAUUUAAAAGUCAUACAUAUCACAUUAUGGGCCCUACGAAGUGGCUAACCCUGAAUUGCACUUCAAUUACAGCCUUUAUAACACUAUAUACCCGGCCUGAUCGUUGAGCUCGAGUAAUAGGACGCCACAUCAAACAUCAAACUCAUUCAUAUUCACACGGUCUCAAAAAUACAUGCAACCGUCAUCAAUUUCAAAUAUUUAGAGGAGUAUUGAGUCUUGAACACCUUAGGCUACCUUUAAAAAGACUUAUCAAAUGUUUAUUGACAUAAAUAAUAAGAUAAUCAUGCAUGGGGACCAUCUAACAAAAAUUUCCAAAGAAAUCACGUAGGUAUUGAUACUUACUCGCAGAUAUCGAUAUUUUUACGAGAUAGGUAUCGAUACAAGUUAGAGAAUCAAUACCAAACUAGAAUUCUGCAAAUUUUUGUUAAAAACCAUUUUUAUCAAUACAUGGGCAAAGGUAUUAGUAUUUUUUCAUGAGUAUUGAUACUCGUAUAAGGUUAUCAAUACCAAAAUUGAGCUACUAACUUCUUACAAAAACGAUUCAACACCUAGGUAUCGAUAUGUAUGCCCUGAAUAUCGAUACCUCUACUUAGACUUGCAAAGACAUAGUAAAAUAGAGAAGUAUUCAUGCUUAAACAUAUUAUCUUCCUUACAUGCAUUCUAAAUCAUAAUCUCAUGCAUUCAAAUAUUCAUAAACAAGUCCAAAACCAAUCAUUAACUCAUUCAUAAAUAUAAUUCCAAGCAAUACCAAAACUCCAAAAAAAAUCAUAACAUCAAAUAAAUAAUAAUAAUAAUGAUAACCAAAUGAAAUUCUAACUCACAUUACCUUUAUUCAAAGAGUCCAAAAAUAAUUAUAAAACCACCUACUCAAAAGUUUAUUGCCUUUCUUGGACCACUUCCUUGGUCGUACCAUUCACACUGAAAACACUACUUAUCUGCAAAGAUUUAGUAAGGAGAGUGAACUUAAACAAGCUCAAUGAAUGUUCGAAAUUACCACAAGCAUAUACAAUGUCACAUUAUAAGCAAGAGCAACUAGAUACAUGCACAACCAUAUUUACUAUGAGUCCAAAUAAUAAAUUCAUGUUUCAUUAAUUCAUAAAUCCAACAUAUACUCUAACAUGAAAUUACAUACAAUUCAUAUAUAUAUAAAUUAUCGAUAAUUCAUCAAGACAAAAUAACAUAUUCAUGCUUUAAUGACCCAGAAGUCUAGAUUAUAUAUUCACAUGCAUCUACACACAUAACAGUUUCAUGUAUUAAUCAAUUAAUGAUGAUUUGGCAACUUGAAAACAUGAAACAUAAAAAUGGGUCUAUCACCACAUAUCGGAUACAUGGAUCUCCAUCACACCAAUGGCUCAAGGAGUCUAACAUAUCCCAUAAGUUUAGCAUAAAACUAAACACUCUCCAAUACACCAACAUAUCCUGGUGAAUGGAGCUUAGCUCGACAUUCCCUUAUCCCUCCAAUCUAUCCCAGGGCCUUAAUGCCUAAAUCAUAAAACACAAGGGUGAGUACUCACAAUCCUAUGGCAUGCCAACUAUAUCCAAUGGUUUCAAGAGAUUAUAAGGCUAAAAUAUUCACAAAAUUCACACAUAUAAUUACUAUUUUAAUGCACAAAGUUCUUGUUCAUAAAUAUCAAUUCACAUCACAACUUGUACAUAAUACAUGUUUAUCAAAUUCACAUAAAAUUACACUUUAAGUGCCAAAACUAUGCUCAUUGAGCCAUCACAUAUUCGAUCACAUAUGUGUACAUUAAAAUCAGGUUACCACAUAUCACAUAUAAGUAUUCACACAUACAUUACCUGUCACAAUAGCAUUACAUUCCGCAACUUGUCAUACAUGAAGUAUAUUUUCACAACAAGGCAAAGAGUAUAAGAAAGGCUUACAAUCAAAACAUAGGAUAGAGGUUUAGGUUAUUCCUAAGAUCCCGAUUAAUGCUAUGAAUCGUCCAUACUAGCAAAGAUUUAGCACACUCACUAAUUACACUUCCGCUUACUAGCCAAAAGCUCAAACUAGCUUUUCCUUGCCCUUAGACUUGCUCUCCCGAUUGAUCCGACGCUUUACACACAUAACAAAAACAUUUCAACCUCAUUAAAAAUAGCCUUGAACACAGUCAAACAACAAAGAAAACAUAAUUCAAGCCUCUCAUUUUCAACUAAUAAAAACUAGCUAGUUUUGCCGAAAUUAAAGUUUCGACAUCCUAAUCUCAUUUCUAGUCCUCAAUUUCAAUUCCGAACAUCCUAAAUAACAUUUAAUUUCAUAUCUAAACCACUAAUUUCAUCUAAAUUUGUGUUCCUAAAAUUUUCGAAUAGUUCAAGUUUUCAAGAACAUGAAAAAUGGAAAAACGUUUGAUUCUUGGAAAUUCGAUUAUGAACUAUCAACUGAAUUGAAAUACCUUAUAAUUACAUUAAAAUGAAUUAAAAACAACUUUGAAAACAUGGGUUUAUUUAAGAUUACAAGAUUUUCCAUUUUUGAACCCAAACAUACUUUAAAAACAUAAAAUCAAAAUAAUUGUUUAAAACUCAAUUUGAAUUAACAAUACUAUUUAUUUAACCAUAGAAAUUUAAAAUGUUACCUUGAUUUGAUGAAAACGAUUAUCUACAAAUCUAAUUUGGGAUUUGAACUCAAGAAGAACAAUGAAGAUUUUGGGGGAAGAAAAAUAUUUUUAGUUUGAAAUUGGGGUUUGUUUUGGUGUUUAAAGAGUUAGUAAAUAUGAGGGAAUGAGACGUGAAUGGCUUGAUGUAGAAUACCAACUUUCAAAAAUUAGAGAAUUUGCCCUUUUGGUCACUCCUAAUUUUUCCUUUUUCCAAUUAGUCCCAAAAUUACUUAAAAUCCAUCUUUUUCAAAUUAAACCUAAAAAUUGAAUCUUGUUUGAGCUAAAAAAUAAAAUAAAAUUUUGAUUAAGACACUCACAUCCCUAAAUACUCACUUACGACCUUAUUUUUUGAUAUUUAACUUCACCCCUCAAUAAUGACCCGAUUCUAAUAACCCAAAACUACUAGGUUGGGUUUUGGGAUGUGACAACCUAACCAAAAUUUACAAAAAAUGGGUCCACGUUCCCAUAUGGCCUACACAACCUAACACACGCCCGUGUGACCUAUACAACCUGGCACAUAGCUGUGUGGGAUCGACUGUAAGUUUUUCUUCUUCGCCUCGUUCACUAUUUUUUAAGGUUAUUGUUACACACAUGGUCGUUUUUUAUUAGCAAUGCAACAACACAAUUCAAGAUGAACCAAUUAACGACGACAUAUGAAAAUCAAUCAAUAAUUUAACCACAACAUCUAAAAAUUCAGCCUUAAUCACUAAGAAUCAACUCCUAAAAGGCAAUUAGACGCUUACCCCAAUCGAAACAAUAGUUCUUAAGGCUCACCAAACAUUGGAGAAGAGUUUUGCACCUCUCGAUUUUUACCUAAUAGAAGUACGAGAAAAAUUAACCUAACAAAAAUCAUUCAAAAAUCGCUAACGAAAGUUCACACUUAGCCUUCCUAACCAUACGAAUAGAUUUUUACUUACACCAGAAUUUUGAUACGGCAUCGGAGAAACUUCCAAACACACAAGACCAUACAAAAUUUUAGCAACAUAAUCACCAAAAGAAUGAUAACAAAUAGAUAACACAAAAGAUAGGAGAAGCAAGAAAAAAGAAGAUAAUUAUAGGAAGAAGAAAAUAAAAGAAAAGUGUGAAGUGAAAACAGAACAGAAAAAUGAGUGGGGAAAGUGAGAGACAUGAGAGGAAAGUGGGAGAAUUUUGGCGAAAAGCUUUUUCAUGUUUUAAAAAAUAUUAUGUAACCAAAUCAAUUUUCUAAUAACCAAUCAGAUUAUCUAGAGUUCAAAUUUAACUUAACUACUAAUGUAUAUGGGCAACAUACUUAGGGAGAAACAAAACCAAUUUUCGUUCUACACGUACGAGAUUAGAACACAGGACCUCUGGGUAAGCUGAAGCCUUAUCAUUGAACCAAUAGGCUCAUUCUUGACAACAAUUGAGUGAAAAUUAUAAAUAAGCCAGAUGUUCAAAGAUAGGGGUUGGGAUAAAAAUAACAAAAAUUCAAUGGAAAAGAUUUGAACCUAGAACCUCUCAACACAAACACAACACUUAACCAUUAAACCAGAUCAAUCAACUUCACAAAUUUUAACAAUUCAAAAACAAAAAUUUUGGGGCGUUACAUAAUCUCACCGAGUAUUAUGCUAUGACUAGUUGUUCUCUUGAAAGAUGGAACUUCUUUAAAUAUUACAUGAUAGUACCUACCAUGAAGGCCAGUCCAACUAUCAUAUGAUCACAACAAAGUUCUCCUUUCUUUCUGGAUCUCCUUAAUGAGGUCUGUAUGACAAUCCUAUCAUGGGGUAGUUAAAUUGUCAUACCAUUACUAUAGACCAUUGAUCACUACAGCAAAACAUGUUUUUAGCAGCGUUUUUUUGGGCCUAUAGUGCUAAAACUAUUUGCAGUUUUUUUAGUAGCACCGCAAAAAAGCCACUAUAGAUAACAGGGCUAAAUUUUACGGCAUUUAUUUGAAAAAACGCCGCUAUAGAACAUGACUUUCAGCAGCACUUUCCACACAAACGCCGCUAUAGAACAUGACCUUUAGCGGCGCUUUUCCCACAAAAGCUGCUAUAGAACAUGACCUUUAGUGGCGCUUUUCCCACGAACGCCACUAUAGACGUGACUUUUAGUGGCGCUUUCCCACAAAUGCGCUAUAGAAUGUGAGCUUUAGUAGCACUUUUACUGAAAAUGCCGCUAAAUGUCAUGUUCUUUAGUGGCGUUUUUGGUGAAAGCACCGCUAAAAGUCUUGUUCUUUAGCGGCAUUUGUAAAAAAACACCACUAACUUUAGCAGAUUUCUAACAUCCCAUUUUCAUUCAUAUACAACCCUUCUUGUAACAACCAAAAACAACAAAUACAAAUCCAACCAAAAACAGCAAAUACAAAUCCAACCAAAAACAACAAAUAUAAAUCCAACCAAAAACAACAAAUCUAAAUAAUACUUCAAAUCCAAAAAAAGAUAUAAUAUCUAAAUUAAUAAAUUAAAUAAAAAAAUAUUCUUACAAUAAUGUUAAAAGUAUAAUGUUAAAAUAUUCUUACAACAAGAAAACAAACAUCUAAUAUGGCGGAUUCUGCGACUGCUGAAACAUCUUCAUCAUAUUCAGAAGUUAUUGUUGGAGUUCGUCAUAUUUUCUACUUUGCUCUGCUUCCCUCGCUGCUACCUCCACUUUAAGUUGAGCAAUUUGCUCAACUGUGCUCCCUUGCAUUUGAGCCAAGUGGUCUCUUAACCUCUAAACUUCAACUUGAGUCUAACUCCCUGAAAGCAUGUAUUGCUGCGAGCUGGAUCUAAAAUAUUGGGUUGGGUUUACAAAAGAUCCUUGAAAUCGAACUCGACCAUAUCUUUCUGGACCCAAAACUUCAGUAAUAAUUCGGUUACCAAUGUCAUUAAGAUUAACAGAACUAUCACUCUAAGCGAUCGCUUCAUACUCCGACCUUUUAUCCUUUAGUUUCUCCUAAUAAAUCAAUCAAAGAGUUAGAAACAAAAUAUAUAAUCAAAACAAAUGCAACAUAACUUAACAUUAUUUGCAUUACAAACGACGAAUUAAAUCAUUAUAAUUAAACAUGAUAAAUAUUUAAAAUAAUUCAAAAUUUAUUAAGUAAAUAUAUCAUAAUUUCUGUAGCUACAGUAGUCAUAGGAGAUCCAUCUUUCUUUCUAUGUGUAAUAUCAAAAAGCUGAAGGCGCCCAACUUUUUGACCAGACAAUUGUUCUUACAAUAUAGUAGUAAAAAUAUUAUUUAAUAGAAAUUAAUUAAUAUUUAACACAAUUGAUAAAUUCAAAAUACCUCGUCCUCAUCUACACAAGCAAAACUUUUCGACUCAGCUGUGUGCGUGAAUUUUUGUUUUUGCCUACUUGUAGUUCCAACGCGCUCACGAUUCUACAUUAUGAAAUUAUUAUUAAAUAUAUAGUAAACACUAUAAAUCAAAAUAAUUAUACGAGUUUGGAAGUACGUAAUACCUCUCAUUUCUUUGAAUUCCAAAAUCUAACUGCAUAUUCCCAUUGCUAACUCAGCAUUCCCGGCGGGACAUUUCGCAAUUUAUCUUCGAGACUUAUAUUUUUCUUAAAAUAUUCCUUCUUUAAAACACUUUUAUGGUCUCUCCAUUUUUUUCCUAAUGCAUUCUUGACAUAAUUAUUCGAGACCUCAACAGCAAAUCUCUCUUGCAAAAAACACAAGUUUAGAAAGUACAUAUAAAUGAAACUUAAAUCAAACUAUUAUAAAUUACAUUCACGUUAUUACCUUAAUAUUAUCGAGAGCUUGAUUUUUGUUACUAUCAAGCAUAUGAUGCCAUGACUCAUAGUUGAUAGGAAACAGAUUGACAUUUCGUGCUAUAGUGCCCAAGUAUCCUGCUAAAAGUCGAGCUUCUGAUCCAAUAGGCUGACCAAGACUGUUUCUAGCUACUUUGACACGCUCGACAAAAUUUAACUCGUAUAAAUCUUUUAGUAGCAUACAUCCUCGAGUUCUGUGCGUCCCACUGCUUUCAGCUGAAAAAUGGUAUACUAUAAUAUAAGAAUUUGAAACAGAAAUUAAUAAUAAAAGUCAACACGCAUGUAAAUUAAAGUUUAACAUUAUUUUGAACUUCCGCAAGUUCGUCAGCUGUAUUCGAAACAUUCGAAGAUCUAAUACCAGUUUGUUGUUCACUAUUUGUUUCUUCCAAAUUUGGAGGAUUUUGAACAAUACUUAGAUUUCGCAAUCUUCUUCUGGCCAUUUUAUCUGCAAUACACAUAAAAUAGUUGAAAUUUUAGUAACUAAUUACAACAAUAAUAGUAAAUAUAAAAUAGUUGAAAUAUUUAACAAGAUCAAGAUUUAAAUUAUAAUAUUACAUAUAAUUAAAAAAUCGUAAAAUCUUACUAUAUCAUAAUUUGUAAAUAUCUUCAUCCACAUCUUGGCAAAUCCAUUGAAAUUGUGUACUAGUACUAGGGAUAUUUUCAUUUAAGUUUUGUCCUGAUCUUUCGUUGAUGUCAUCUCUACCUCCAUUGCCCAUGUAAAACAAGUCUCUAGGGGUGUUAUGGAGUACAACGUACUAACCCUCAUCAGUUGGAUCUUUCGAGUAAAAAACUUGUUUCACUUGAGAAGAAAAUACAUACGGCUCAUCUAUCAAUUGUUGUCCAGUGUGAAUUAAUCGAGAUAAAUUCACCAUUGUAAAACUAAAUUGAUCUUUUUUAAUUUCACGAGCAGUAUUAACAUCAGCCCAAUCACAUCAAAAUAAGACAACUUUCCGUUUGCCAUAGUAACCCAACUCAAUAAUGUUAGUAAAAAACCCGUAAUACUCCACAUUUCCCUCAACAGGAUUAUUGUCCCUAGCACUAGCAUAAUUUGUAAUUGAAGAAUUAACAACUAUUCCACAAUUUUGAGUCCUCCUCAAUCUUUCACAAGAUUUUGUAAGAAAUGCAACACAUUGAUUUUUACUUAAACGCCUAAUUGCUUCACGAUCAUUGAAAAGAAAACCAAGUCAAAGUAUUGAGUAAAGUAUAGUAGAGACGAACCAAGUGACAUCUCUAAAUAAUAUUCCACUUUUAGCAUGGUUUUGGUUCCAUUUUUAAAAUCUUAUAUUAAUUUUCAGUAAUUUAAAAAUACAGUAAUAUAUUUAUUUCUAUAUUAUGAAAUUAAAAUAACUAAUUGAAAAUCAUAUUACUUUUAUGUUGGAAUAAAACCCAUUUUGUCUCAAUUUUUGCUUCAAACAAAUCUAUUUUGCUUCAAAGCUUUUCAACAACACAAAUAAAUCCUUUAUCUAAUGAUCUGAUCAUUAUGUUCACAAGACAGUCCAGCUCACGACACUUUUCAGUAGUCACUACCAACCACAAGAAAGCUUCUAUUGGAUAUAUUCACUAUUUGACAAGAUGAUAAAUGUUAAUUGCUAUUUGAAAAAGCCAAAAUCAACCACAAGGAUUCAAGCAAACAAUCCUGAAUUUUAGUAAAUCCCACACUCCAACUAGACAGAUGAUUUUCAGAUAAAAAACCAGCUAGAUUGGAACUACAUCUUUCUUUAUAAGUAACACCUGAACAAGUAAAUAAACAUUGGGACUAGGCUAUGUAGUCUAGAAACAUUUGGUUUCCGCCUAACGAGGAGUAACAAAACCAGUUCUUUAACCAUGUAGUCUGGAAUUUCUCCGUUCCAUUCACCACUACGAAGUCCCCUCCAGGUCGAGCCUUUCGCCUAUUUCACUCUCCUUCAACUAGACCUUGAAGUCAUCAAUCAUCAAAUACUGCAACUAAAACUAAUUUAGAUCUAAAAAUUGUUUUCAUUUUCUCAUACCACUUUCAUCCUUGUAAUAAUAAUUUACGGUAACUAUUAGCUAUCAAGUCCAUCACGAUUCAUCCAAUUCCACCAACUGUAGCUAUAUCACAAAUCCUUUAUGCUCAACCAGGCUAAAUUACUAAGAAACUGGGGAAAAAAUUGCCACUAAAUUAAUUACAUUAAAAUGCACCGAUUUUGGGAAAAAAUACUAAGUCAUUUUGAGGUAACAAAACAACGUCAUUUUGCAAAAAAAUAUUCACAAUAAUGGUGUUUGGACCAAAAAUGUCACUAUUGCUCAACAUUUUGCAGCGUUCGGAACAAAAAUGCCACUAUUGCUUACCUUUUGCAGCGUUUAAGACGUUACAAUUUUUAUAUUGAAUUAUUGUAUCUUUCAUAUAAAUUUUAAAUAAAUAUUUUUUUAAAAUUUAAGUAAUAUUUAAAAGAAUUAGAUAAAAUUAUAAUUUUUAUAUAAUUUUUGAUGUGAGAAAACAAAAACAAAAAUGAUGAAAGAGUGCAUGAGUUGUCUAAAAAAAAUACAUGAUGGCCACUUGGAUGAUGGGUGAGUACAAGGAGCAAAACGGCAACGUGUUGUUUAAAAUAAAAUAUUUUUUUGUGGUGUUUUUAUCAAAACCCCUAAACAUAAACCAUAAACCAUAAACCAUAAAAUCAAAACACUAGACCCCAGACUUCAAACCCCAAACCUUAAACCUUAAAACCCUAAAAAUAUAAAUCAUACACUUUAAACCCCAAAUCCCUAACCAUAAACCCUAAACCAUAUAUCCUAAAACCUAAAAUAAAAUGAAUCUUUUUGUGGCGCUUUUAAAAAAAAACGCCGUUAUAGCUUACCUUUUGUAACGUUUUUCUCAUAAACGCCGCUAAUGCUUGACUUUUUUAAUGACAUACGAGCAAUUUUUAUAUUGAAUUAUUAUAUCUUUCAUAUCAAUUUUAAAUAAAUAGUUUUUAAAAUUUUAGAAAUAAUUUAAAAGAAUUAGAUAAAAUUUGAAAUUUUUAUAUAAUUUUUUAUGUAAGAAAACAAAAAAAAAAACAAAAACAAAAUAUGAAAAAAAAAAAGCUUUAAAAAAUUUUUCUCUUCUGUAAUUAUAUAUUCUUUCAAUGUUUUAGGAAACUUAAAUAACUUUUUCAAUUUACUAAUUAAUUUUGUUUCUCUGGAGAUGCAUGGGUUAGCAAUUUUUUUAAUUUUAAUAUAUAUAAAGUUUAUCUAUUAUCUCUUAAAUAAUUUAAACUGUAAUGAUAAUUUUAAUAUAUUAAAAUUAGUAUUAUCUUUUACAAUUAUAUAAGAAAUUAUUUAACAUAUAAAUUAAAAAACAAUUAGUUAUAUACCAAAAAAACUUUAAUAAUAGUAUUUUAAUUUUUUUCAUUUUUAACAUAUAUUUUUCUAUGUUUUUACUUUCAAAUUUUUUCUACGUAUCAUUAAUUUUUUCUGAAGAUUUUAAUUAUUAAAUUAAAAAUAUAUUGUAUUUUAAUUAAUAUAAAGAAACUAGUUAAAUAAUAAAUAGAAAAGGAUGAAAGAUGCAUGCAUGAGUGAGAAUACAGGGGGCAAAAUGGCGCCGUUUUGUUUAAAAUUUAAUGAUUUUUUCGGCGUUUCAAAAACGCCGGUACCACUACUACUAGACCCUUUGCGGUGUUUACGAGAAAAAUGCAUCUAAUGCUAGACCUUUUGCAGCGUUUUUCUCAUAAAUGCCGCUACUGCUUGACCUUUUGUAGCAUUUUUCUCAUAAACGCCACUAUAGCUCUAACAUUUUGCGGUGUUUCCUGAUUAGCGCCACUAAUAUAUAACUUUUGCGGCGUUUUUGGUCCAAACGCCACUAAAAACGCCGUUAAAAGCUUAAUUUCCUGUGGUGGAUGGAGACCGUAGGUCUUGUUUAGCGACCUUCUCCCAUUCAAUAUUUUAAAAUCAUGUAUGCGUUUUAAUGUCCGGUUUCAACAUGAAUGAUCAAUAUAUGCAUGGCAAGUACAUGUGACAUUCUUCCCUAAACUAUAUGGCAUGCUUAUCAUACAUAUGCAUGGACAUAAAUUCGCAGUAAUAUAAAUAUCAUCAUUCUUAUCUCAUAAAUAAAAGUGUAAAAAUUUAAAGACUUUGAAUAGCCAAAGUUUCCAUAAUUUCAUCCUAGGAAAAAUAAAAAAUUACAAAAUUCACCCUAACGCAUACUUUGGUUCACGUUUCCAUGCAUACUUUGGUUCACGUUUCCGUCGUCGUCAUCUUUCUAUCGCCAGUCUCCUACCGUCAGACCACCGCCAACCACCUACUGUCAGACCAUUGUUGGUCACUUGUUAGCUUGGCAGGGUUGCGUUUGCAUGGUCUCGAUAUGUUUGGAUGCAUUUCGGUUAUUUGGGUUUCGUUAAAAAAUAAUAUUACAAAAUUCUUAUGUCUGUUUCUAACUCAUUUUAUUCUCAAAUAAUAAAAUUAAAACCCUACGAGGAGAUGAUAGUCCACGAUCUAAAAUUUACAUGCCUGAAAAAAUAAUAAAUUAUGUUUAAUUUUCUAAAAAUCAUAAUUUUGGCAAAAUUAUUUUAAUAUAUGUAUUGUCGCUACUAGCCACAGUCGGACCACCGCCAGCCUCUUACUGCCUGACCACUCUCGGUCACUUGUCAGUUUGGUAGGACUGGGUUUGCGUCAUCUCGAUCUAUUUGGAUACGUCUCAGUUCUUUGAGUUUCGUCGAAAAAUAAUAUCACAAAAUUCUUAUGUCUAUUUUUGGCUCAUUUUAUUCUCAAAUAAUAAAAUUAAAACCCUACGAAGAGAUGAUAGUCCAUGAUCUAAAAUAUACAUGCACGAGAAAAUAAUAAAUAACAUUUUAUUUUCUAGGAAUCACAAUUUUGGAAAAAUUAUUUUACCAUUCAUAAUAAAAUAAUAUCAUACAUUUGUUCGUAUACAUUCCCCUAAACAUGCAUACAAUUAUAAGAAUGCCACAUUUUAUCAAAUAUAAUUGUACAUGAAAAAGAAAAGAGCAUUUUGGUCUCGGUUUAUACUAUAAACAUAGAACAAUCUGGCGUUUUGAUAACAAUUGUUGGAAAAAAUCUAGUUUGAAAAUGAUUUUCUUAUACAGCGAAAAAGAAAAAUUUUGAAAAUCGAUCUGAUUUGUGAUAUUUAUUACAAUAAACCCUAAACCAAAUUCGCACCUAUGUUUUUGGAUAGACGGAUCCUUAUGUUCCCGACUUUCAACUGAACAAUUUUCUCUACUAUUCUCAUACCACGAAAUGCAUUGAAUGUAGGCUCAAAUGAUUCAGAUCAAAAUAGAGAACUAGAAAUAGUUAUCUUUUCUUUUGGGGUGAAAACAAAAAAUCAUUUCUCAAAUAGAAACCGGUAGAAUUAUUAUUCUUAAAAACUAGAUUUAAUAGUUGAUAAUUAAUUCUCACUAUUUUUCGGUAAAGUAAUAAUAUCUUCAAGUUCUGUUAAUAACUCUACCGCUGCCAUCUAUGUGCAAGGAGAAAAAGUAAAACCUUUGUUGAAUCAAUAUAAAAGUUUAUAUCAACUCGAAAAGCGAACCCCUAGUCUAACUAGGAGUAUAGGGUCCGACAACCCUAAUCAAUAAUACUAGGGUUUAUGUCAUCCACCCCUUUAACAUGAGAGGCUUUUGGGCCUCUCCCAUAUCAAGUCCAAUUAUAAUUACUUCCGGGGCUUUUAACCCAAUAUUUUUAAUUUGAUCCAACCCAAUAUUUAUUUUUCUAUUUCCCAAACGAAAAAUCACAAUAUAUUUCUAAUUAAAUAAUCUUUUCAACCCAAUUCUAGUUCCAUUAAAAUCAUGAUGACUUUACCAUAAAAGAAUCUAUUAGAAAAUAUAUUUAAUAUUUUUAUAUUCAACGUUCAGUAUUGUCACACCCCAUAUUUUUUAUUAAUUAUUUUGUCAAUUCAUGAGCAACCAAGUUUUUAUUCUAGUGGUAAGCAGCUUAAUUAAUUCUUAGAGAAGCUAGGUUCAAUCCCCUGCACCACCACCGCCAUUAUUCACCAUUUUUCACCAAUUUUCAUCUCCUCUUUAUUUUUAUUUUUAUUUUUUUUGUAAAAAUCGAACUACUAAUUAUCCUCUAUUAUUUUUCUUAGAUCGUUAAUGAUUCUAAUUUUUAUUCUUUUUAUUUUUGAAUGAUGAUUUCCCUAGAUCAUCUUUUGUUGUAAACGAAGCAUUGUGGGAUCAAGGACUCAUCUUUUCCUUGGAAUUUUUCUAUUCUUCUUCGCACUGCUUGGAUCUAUAUUCUCACCUUAGGAAAAAAGUAUUUUCACUUGGAAGUUAGAUAAGAUUCAAGAUCAGAUUUCUUCCCUUGGAGUUGGAAUUUGAAUCCAGUUAUCGGAUCUACCAAUCAAGGUGUGAGUUUAACUUAUUAGAAAAAUCUAUUUAUGGACUUAUCUUCAAAUAAAAUAUAAAUAUUUAUUUAGAUUUAAAAUUUGAUAAAGAUCUAAACUGUCGAAACCAUUUUUAAAUCGAGGUUUGGAAAAUGGGAAUCGACUUUAAGAAAAACGAAAAAGGGAGUCGCCACCAAUCUUUUUUAGGUGUGAUUGGAUCACCUUAUAAAAUGUUUUGUUUUAAAACAUUAAUUUUAGUCUACGAAAGUCGAGAAAACGGAUUCGGGAGUCGGUUACGUACAAGGAAGGGUUAGCACCCUCGUAACGCCCAAAAAUUGGUACCUAAUUGAUUAUCACGUGCUUUUAAUGUCGGAAAUUUGAAAGUUUUAAGAUGCAAACCUCUUUUAAUUAGAAUGUUUUAAUUUUGAAUAUUAGAGUUUACUUGUAUCAAAUGAAUCAAAAUAUUACAUCCAAUAAGUUAGGAAGCAAUAUUUUUAAGACAUUCGAAGCUAAGCUAGCCUUUUUUUGAAAAUCCUUAUCUCAGAAUGACAAAACGACAUAUCCAAUAAGUUAGGACACAACGCUUUAAAAUUCUAAGAUAAUUAUUCAUAUUUUGAAAACCUUAAAAACUUAUAAGGGUGCUUGACUAUUCGAACUUAACGAGAAAAGUCGCAACCCAGUAAGUUAGGGCACUACCUUUCUCGAAGUUUCCAAAUACCAAGCAUUACCUUUUUAUUUUUGAAAACUUUUGAAUCUCGUUUUUUAAUUAAUGCAUGAAGAACCGUAUUAACAUUAUAGAAUAACAUAAAAGAUGGUAUAUUAUCAUAAUAGGUAAGUAAAAGCAUCAAUUUGAACAAAUUUUAAACAAUAUACAUGGCAAACUUAAAACAUGUAAAACAUACAUACAAAAAUAUACGACAUACAUUAAAAAUGAAUAAGUAAGCAUAUAAACAUAUAAGGUAUAACUCUAUAUACAUUUUAAUAAAUUAAUAGACAAAAGAUGAUGCAUGGCAUACAAUUUAACAUAAACAUGCCCAAAAUAAUAUUAACUUACAUGUCAAUUUUAAAAUACAACCUUUAAUAAUCAUAAAACAAUAUUCAUUAUAUAAAUGAUAUGUUCAACAUAAAAAAGAAUUAAUGUAUAUUAAAAUGUAAUAUAAAGUGAGUAAUUACUGAUAAAAAAUAUACCUAAAAUAUAAAUUAAAAAAAGUUUAAAAUAAGUUAUGUAUAAUAAUAUGAUAUGAAUAAAAUAUAAGAAAAUAUAAUAUAAGAUGAUAAUAAUACUAUAAUAAGUAUUUUGCACAUAAAAAUAUGAUAAAAUAAUUAAUAUAUAAUAUAUAACAUAUAAAAAACAAAAUAGAUAUAUAUAUACAUAUAUAUAUAAUAAAGUAUAAAAUAAAAAUAUAUAUAAGAAAGAUAAAUAUUAUAAUGAAUAUUAAAUAAUAAAACAUAGUAUGUAAUAGAAGUACAUAAAUAAUUAUAAUGAAAUAUAAUAUGGUGUAUGUAUAAUGAUAAUAAUGUAACAAAUAUUUAAUAUAUAAUAAAAUAAAUAAUAUAAUAAAAAUAUAUAUCAUAUAAUAAAAUUUUUAAACAUGUAUAAUGUAUAGCCUAUAUUAUAGGUAAAAUAUAAAAUAGUAAACAUGAUAUGAGUAAUUUUUAUAUAAUAAAAUAAAUAAUAUACAUACAUAAUAAAAAUAUAUAAUAAAAGAGAAGAUGUAAUAUAUAUAAAUGAAAUAUGAAUACUAUUAUAUAAAUAAAGAUAAUAUAUAUUAUUAUUUAUUAAUAAUUUUAAAAAAUUUUACCAUUUAUAAAUUUAAUAUAUAAUAAUAUAUAAUUUAUAAAAAAUAUAAAGAAAUAUAUAAAAUAAAAUAUAUAAUAAAAUAUAAUUUAUAGAUAAGAUAUAUAAUAAAAAAUGUAAUGGAUAAUAAAAAUAAUAUAUAUAACUAUUAUAAAAAAUAAUAAUAAUAUAUAAAGUAUUUAAAGUAAAUUAAAAUAUAAAAAGGAUUAAAAUUGAAUUUAAUUAGAAAAUCUAGGGUUAAUUUUUAAACUAACAAAAAGAAUUAGGCCUGAUUCGAAAGAAUUCAAACCUAUAAGGGACUCACUGGGCAAUUUGCCCUAAUCCCAAAAUGACACCGUUUCCCGAAUACCGUUUUAAAGUCACUGAGAGGACUAAAUUGAAACAAAACUAAAACACUAGAGCUAAAUCAAAAAAUAAAUAAAAUAGAAUCAUAAAUAUUAAAAUUGCGAGAGGACCAAUUGAGUAAUUAACCCAAUCUUCAAAAACAUGCGGAUCCUCCCCGGGUUAUCGGGUCAACACGCGGAUCCUUAGCUUUAAUAUGACGUCGUUUUAGGCUUAUUGGAUUAAGCCAAAAUGGCGUCGUUCUAUUAAGGCUAUAUAGGCCAAAUUUUAACCUAAAAAUCAUUUAGAAACCCGAUUUAAAAAAAAACUUAAAGAAAUCCUCUGUAGGAGGAUUCGGGGUCGGCCUCAGAGCCUCGUCGGGCCUCUGUUCUCAGGCGCUACGUGCCCACGCGCCAUCGCGAGGGCCACCGCGCACGGUGAUCGGAGGGCUAAAAACCCUCGUCCUUUCAAGGCGAAAACACAGGUAACUCCUUCGUUUUUUUAUAUUAUCAGUUUUUAUUGAAUAUUGAUUCGUAUAUUUUGUUGAAAAAAAAUAAAAAAAAAGAACGAAAUAUAAACUUAAAUCACCUUUUUAAAAGAAGCUGCCUGGGCUUUUAUGAAUAUGUGUAUAUAUCUUUUCUUCUGGAAAAAAAAAUCCCCCCUCUGUACAAUGAAAUGAUUCGGCUUUUAUAGCCUCCUUUUACAAGUUUAGUUUAUCUCUAUUCGAUCUCUUACCUUGUUCGCUGCUGUUUUCUUUCCCUUUUUUGCAGGUAUUCGCAAGGAAUCCGGUGGUAAUGAAGGCUUGACGAUGGAGGCGAAAGACCGGGCAUUGACUGCGCCUUGACUUGCAGACUGAUGGAGGGUAGCUGGAACGUCAUGAAAUGAACAGACGCGUUGAUUGCAUCGUAAUCCGAGGCUGAUGUCAGUUGCGAUUACUAGGAAGCCUUGUGGCGCGAACCUUAGCUAGGGUUCCUCAGAAGCUGAAAGUAGGUUGGGCCGAUUGGGCUAGCUGGUCUGUGUUUGUUUAUUGGGUCAAAAAAAAGUAUUUUGGGCCUGAUGUUAGUUUUAGGUAUGGGGUUAAAUGUAAACGGGUUUAGGUAUUUGGGCUGUUUAUUGUAACUGGACUUUAAUAAAUAAACAUUUAUUUAUUUAUUUUUAUUUGUUUAUCUCAUGGGCCCGGGCAGAUUUGGGCUACUACAGCUGCCCCUCUUUGCUUAUUGCUGUGUAACAGGAAUCAAGCAAAGACUUAUAAAAAGACUAAAUUUGCCUGGCCUUAUCGGAUUAUGGUCCUCAGUCUUCUCAUUACAAACUCAAGGCUGUCAUGUCGAUAUUUUCGAUCGGCUCUCCGUCGAACACAGAGAUACCAAAUCAUCUUAGAUUUGCUUCAACGUAAACACGUGAAAGCCAAAUCAGCUAUGUCUUCGAUCUGCUCUCCGUCGAACACAGAGAUGCCAAAUCAUCUUAGAUUUGCUUCAAUGUAAACACGUGAAAGUCAAAUCAGCUAUGUCUUCGAUCUGCUCUCCGUCGAACACAGAGAUGCCAAAUCAUCUUGGAUCUGCCUCAAUGAAGGUCAAAUCUGCUACGUCUUCGAUCUGCUCCCCAUCGAAUACAGAGAGAUAAGAUCUGUCAUCUUGGAUCUACUCCCCAUCCAUUAUAGAGAGAUAAGAUCUCUCAUCUUGGAUCUACUCCCCGUCCAUUACGGAGAGAUACGAUCUGUCAUCUUGUAUCUACUCCCCAUCCAUUACAGAGAGAUAAGAUCUGUCAUCUUGGAUCUGCCCCCGUCCAUUACAGAGAUAAGAUCCGCCAUCUUGGAUCUGCCCCGAUGAAGGUCAAAUUUGCUACGUCUUCGAUCUGCUUCCCGUCGAAUACAGAGAGAUAAGAGCUGUCAUCUUGGAUCUACUCCCCGUCCAUUACAGAGAGAUAAGAUCUGUCAUCUUGGAUCUACUCCCCGUCCAUUACGGAGAGAUAAGAUCUGUCAUCUUGGAUCUACUCCCCGUCCAUUACAGAGAGAUAAGAUCUAUCAUAUUAGAUCUGCCCCCCGAUGAAGGUCAGAUCUAUUAUAUCUUCAAUCUGUUCCCUAUCAAAUACAGAGAGAUAAGAUCUAUCAUUUUGGAUCUGCUCCGUCUAUUUCAAAGAGAUAAGAUCUUCUAUCUUCAACUUGUUCCCUAUAAGCACAGGGAUGCCAUGUUGAAAUAUUCAAUCUUCUUUCUCCCCUAGAGGACAUAAACUGUAGAAUGUGUAUGUACCUAUGCCUAAUGAUUAGGAUGCUAUGUUUGAAAUGAGUCAAAUGCUCCUAAUUAGACAUAUUAUGAUAUAAAAUGAAAAUGACUUUUAUUUCGGACAUCUUGAUUCAUUCAAGUUUCGUUUUGUUUCACUCAAAAUACCAACCCUAUUUUGCUCGUAUGCUUAGAACCCUCUCCAUCGAUUUGGUCCAUUGUACCAUUCCCACAUGUUACAACCCACUGGAGAUAUUUAUGAAAUGAUCCUUUCUUAGGAUCAACAUCGUCUAAUCACUGUAAAUAGGCCAAUUUUCCCGGCCCCCUUUGAAACCCAAAUAUAAAUAUUAAUAGUCCAAAGUCCAAAUAAUUACAAUAGUCUACGGGCCAAUAACCAAUCAAAGCCCAAUUACAAGACCAGAACUUAAACCUUAUAACAGUUUAUUAACAGGCUUUGACCCAAAUUAAAACAAUAAUACGUAGACCCAAUAACUAAUGCCCCACAACCAAUACCCAAUCCCCAAAUUAACCCGAGACCCAAAAUCACAUUGGCCCAAAUGGCCCAGAAAUUUUAGAACCCUAGGGUUCUUUCCCAUGCGCCGCAACCAGCCAAGCCUCAGCGCCUCCGUACGCUCCAGUCUCCAGCAACCACACCUACACAGCCCCGUACGCCUCGCGCCAAGGGCCAACGCCCGCCCGUACUCUACCUGCAAGAAGGACAAUCCACACAGCAGCAAACACGAACAAAAUAGCAGAAAAACAAAUGAAAAUGGCAUUUUUAAUUUAUUUUCCUUUUUUAUUUUUUUUCCUUCGGCUAUAAAGCCAUAGUUCUUAGUUUAUGUAAAGGUUAUGAACGCCUACAUAUUUUUACGCAAGAUAUACGAGCAAUACAAAAAGCAACCAAUAUCAGAAGGUGAUUUUCCGAUCUAAAUCUCCGGGCUUUCUUUCUUUGCGAUUAUUCUCUUGUUUUUUUUAUUUUACUUUGAAAGCAAAUAAAGUAAAGAGGAAAGGAUCUACCUGCGCAUAUGAGCCAUUGGAGACCAUCUCUUCUUCGUUGAGAUCGAAGCAUAAGAGAGGUUUUCGGGCUAAAAAUCUAACCUUUUGGGGCGGGAUUUAAAGUAGGAAAAUGAAACGACUUCAGGGCGAGCUAUCUUCCAUCGGUUUCAAUGGUGGAAUGUGGUAGUCAAAUGGUCGAACAGAGGGUUAGGGAAGCAUCGAAAUCAGCUGUGUUGAAACCCUAAUAAUUGGGUUCUCUGCUUAUGGCUAAAAGGGACAGCAAGCUGCCAUUCAAUGGCCUUUAAUUUUAGGAAUGAGACGAAAUAGCGCCGUUUGGGAUAUUAAAGGUCAGCGCGUCAACUCGGAUAGCAACCCGGAUCCGCGCCUUUUCAUUUGGAAUGGGAAAUUUGCGCGCUGGGUCCUCUAUAUUCGCGCGAGCCUUCGAUUGCGCCUUAUGCGACUUGCUUUUUUUAUUAUUUAGGCUUAUAAUUUGUGCUUUGUUGCAAUCUGACCCGCGCCUAAACGCAUCAUUUUGGGUUCUGGUAUAUUGCCAGUUUUAGUCCCUUGCAUUCGCGGGCGCGUCAAAAAUUAGUCCUUUUCCUAAUUUCAGCAACUGACUUUAUUUAUUAAUGAUCCUUUUAGUUUCAUUUUUGUUUCAAAUGAGUUUUUCUUUGUUAUUUUCAGCAUUUUUAUUCUUUGAAACCCUUCUAUUUUUGAGACUUACUUAUUAUUCACCAUUUAAUAUAUUAUUUUGGAAUAUUUUAUCAAGUUUUGCAUGGUUUGUUAUUCGUACUGUUAUUUAUAUGUAAAUACAUCUGUCCAUGUAACUAUAUAUAUACAUAUAUACAUCUAUCUAUUUUCUUUUAAAUUUUUUUGUUUAAACUCCUAUAUAUAUACAUUUUAUAAUAAGGUUACUUUUAUUUUACGCAUGUUAUUAAUCUUACAUUAUUCUAUACAUAUAGUUUCUUUUAAAUAUAUUCUCGUCUUUUAUUAUAUAAUCUCUUAUAACAUGGUUUUUAAAUUAUUAUGGUGUAUAUAUAUAUGUGUUUUUUUAUUAACACCUAUGCUUAAUCUAUUUAUAUAUAUAUGUUACUAAAUCUAUGUAUUUAUACUCGUAGUUUUCUUUAUAUAUAUAUAUGAGCACGUUUGUAAAACUAUUAUGUAGUUUAUAAUAAAAUUAAUUUAGCCCUAUACAUAAUAUUUAAAUGUUUUUGCAUGUAUUUGCCUUUAGAUUUAUAUGUAUGUAUAUGUAUAUAUCUUAUUAUUAAUCUCAUUUUUUACAAUAAACUUACGUAUACACAUGUUUUAUAAAUUUAUUUUGUGCAUUAUGUCUUGUCAUAUAUCUCCACUAUUCUUUUGUAUUGUAUAUAUUUUAAAUUAUCGCAUACUUUUGUCAACUUUUUAAAUAAAUUUGUGCUGAAAUCAUUUUACAUCUAAUUUAAUUCAAAUUUUGAUUUUCUAAUAUCUAUUUCAAUAAUUAUAUAUAUAUUCUUAUUUUUAUGCAAAUCUGUCAAUUCAUACAUUAUGUGUUUUAAAAUAUUCAUUCUACGAUAUAUAUAUUUUAAUGAUUGCAUGUGUCUAUUAAGCUUGACAUUAUUUUACAAUAAUCUUAUACCAUGUUGCUUCUUUGAAUUGCAUUCUAUUUUAUGCCUCUAAUAAUUUUAUUAUGUCAUGUAUGCCGUCGUUGCAUUUUAUUCAUUAUUGCCAUGAUUAAUUGUUCUCCAUGCAUCAUUGAGGUUGAGUCAUAUUUUCAAGCUAAUUAUAUUUAAUUGCUCAUUUUCUUGAUUGAUCGAUAUUCUCAUUCAUCAAGUAUGGUAUCUCAUACGCGCCUAUUAUCCCAUCUCAUCGUUUUCAUUUGGUUUUUUGAAAUGUGGUUUUAUAAAAUCUGAUUUCUUUGAUUAAUUUCAUCUCAUUUCAAAUCGAAUUAAUACGUUUUAAAGCUAGUUUUAGAAGUAUUCUUUUAAAAGUUCUUCAAAACGAAAAAUGAGAUUCGAUGUUUGGUAAUUCGCGGAAUCGUGCCCUAACGUGUUGGGUUACAAUUUCGCGUUUGCUCAAAAUAAUCGAAUAUCGCUUUGAAAUUUCAUUCAUGUUUGUUAAAAUUCUCCCAAACGAAGACGACAUUCGAUAUUUAGUAAUUCACGGAAUCGAGCCCUAACGUGUUGGGUUACAAUUUCGCGUUUGCUCAAAAUAAUCGAGUAUCCCUUCAUGAUUUCAUUCAUAUCCUCUAAAAAUUUUUAAAACAAAGGCAAUAUUCGGCGUUUGACAAUUCGAGAAUCAUGCCCUAUCGUGCUGGGUUGUGGUUUCUGGUUUGAUCAAAAUGAUCGAACAUUCCUUUGCAUUCUCACUUAUGUUUAUAAAAAAAAUGCUUAAAAGCGAAGACGAUGUUUAAUGUUUGGCGAUUUGAGAAUCGUGCCCUAUCGUGCUGGGUUGCACUUUUUCAUUGGUCCGAAGCAAUUGAAGAUCCCUUCGGAGUUUCCCUCACAUUUUCUAAAAUCUUUCAAAAUGAAAGCGAUGUUCAAUGUUUGGCGAUUUGAGAAUCAAGUCCUAUCGUGCUAGGCUGCGCUUUUUCAUUUGCCCAAAAUAAUCGAACAUCUCCUCGGAAUUUUCACACGUAUUUUAUAAAGUAAGGCAAUGGUCAAUAUUUAGAAAUUCGAGGAAUCGUACCCUUCUGUGAUGGGUUUCGAUUUUUCGUUGGACCAAAUAGUUAAGCAUCCUCUGUAAUUCUCUAAUUAUAUACUUUCGGACAUCGAAACGAGAAAUUUUGGCAACCAACUCGGCUUAUUUAAACGUUAUUAACAAGAACCACAUUUCAAAAACAUUUUAAUUUUGGACAUAAGGACAGUAUUUAAUCGAUUUGGUACCAAUUUUGGGCGUAAUGAGGGCGCUAAUCCUUCCUCAUAUGUAACGACUCCCGAGCCCAUUUUCUCAUAUUUUCGUAGACCAGAAUCGUUGUUUUAGUAAACCAAAAUAGUUUUAUUAAAAUAAUCAAAUUCUUAGGUGAUCUGAUCACACCAAAACAAAAGGAUCGAUGGUGACUCCAUGUUUUCAUUUUCCAAAAAGUCAAUUUCACCAUUUUUCAUUAAAAUUUUUUAAAUCAAGGGAUGGUUUCGACAGCUUGGCCACUCCACUGGGGAAUUGAGAGUCGAGCCAUAAAAAUCGAUUAUUUACUGUCCUUUUGUUAAAAAAUUGAAAAUUUAUUUUAAAAAUCAUGUAUCUUUCGAUUAAAUUUGAUUAUAUGCUUGUUUUGGUGCGGGUUUUGUAGAUUAGGACUGCAUUUCAUUACAUGACCACUAUGGUCACACCUUCUAAGUGGGAGUAAGAAGCUACGCUUUCGUGAGGUUUUCACCUUCACAUGGGCUAGUGGAUCACUUCUGGGGUACAUCUGUACCUAUGAUUUCGUGAGAUCUUCAUCUCCGCAUCGUCAUAGGGAAAUGCAUCCCCCCAAACUGAACUCGAUCUAUAUGAGCCUAUAAUAGGUGAGGAUUGAGGAAUCUACUGGUUCGGGUACCCCUUUUCCUAGAACUAAACCACAUAUAGUGAACCUUAGGAGCUAUCCUUAGGUGGAGCCAUGUCGAGCCUUAGUACUUACCCGUAUAUGCGUUAUAAUCACCGUUUAUGUGCUUGCAUUCUAUCGCUAUUAUUUGAUACUAACCGAUGUUUUGUUUUGAUUGUCUUUUUUUCAUGACAUUGCACACUAAAGGAGGCGUUAAUCUACAUUCAAUUACUAAGUUAGAAAAUUUGACAUGGAGAAUGAAUUUUUUAGUAAAGUCGAGGAUAAUGCGGCCGUUCGUGCUUGGUCAGAGAGGCUACAAUCUGAGAGAGGGGAUAGCUUGGAAGAAGGGUAUGUGUCGGAGCUGCAGGAUUUCACUCGCGUCAAUGUAGUAUAGAAUGAGCUGCAAGAGUUGAGAGACAUUUGGGUUAGUUGGAAUGGAGGAAUCAAGCAGUUGUUUUACCAAAGCUAUGGUGACAUAUCCUACCUGCUAGAUAUUAGAGUGGAUAAGCAUUUGUUCCGAGCCUUGGUACAGUUUUGGAAUUCCGCAUACAAGUGUUUCACCUUUGGAGAAGUGGAUUUGGUACCUACCAUGGAGGAAUACACUAUGCUGCUUAGGUGUCCAAAGAUUCAAGUCCGGGAGACUUAUGCCCGGGUUUUUAGUAAUCAGGCUUUCGUAAAGAAACUGAUGAGCAUUUCUGGGAUGAACGAGCCUUGGGUCACCGCUCGGAUUCAGCAAAAAGGAGAUAACAAAUGUAUCCCUUGGAAGAAUUUGCGAGGUUUGAUCUUGACUCAUCCAGACGAAAGAAAGAGGGUCGAUAUAUUUGCCUUAAGCAUCUACAGAUUAGUGAUCUUUCCUAAGGCUUUAAGGCACGUGGACGAGGUGGUCAUUGACUUGUUUGAUCAUCUUGAAAAGGGAAUCACACCAGUACUGACAAUAUUGGCAGAAACGUUCAGAUCUUUGAGCUCAUGUCAGAAGACAGGCGAGGGGCGAUUUAUUGGAUGUGCUCAACUAUUGAUGGUAUGGUUUCAUGGGAACUUUUGGAAGGUGGAUAAGGUUUCCUAUCGAGUCUUUUUCGAAGGUUAUUCCCUUUUGAAAGAAGAGGCAGCCAUACAGAGGAGAGAGGAUAUCUCGGAGGAGAAGUGGAUGGAUAUUUUUUAGAACCUCAAGGAGGAGGAUAUCGAGUGGAGAGCUUAUUGGAUGGUUCCUAAUGAGAUCAUGUACCGAUGUGGUAACUUUGAUUGGGUGCCGUUGUUAGGAAUCUGGGAAGCUACUGGGUAUACUCCAUUGAUAGCCUUGAGGCAAUACAAGUCGAGGCAGUUUGUACCCACGACCUACGGACUUGCUCAGAGUGAAUUCUCGUUUAAAGGUGCUCACUAUAAGAAGAGAGUUCGGGAAUUAUGAGAUGCUUGGAAGUAAACUUGUUGGAUGAAGAGGUUAGCCGUCGGUUCUAUGGUAAACUCGAGUACAGCGAGUGGUUUAAGAGGAGGAUUAAUGACAAUAUUCCUAGGCCAAGCUUGGAGAGUGCUCGACCUGUCGGGGAACAAUUACAAGCCGCCCCGUCAGAAUUAGAAAUUAUAAAGUAAGAUUUCGAGAAAAGGAGUGUGGAGCUCGGGAAGAAGAUCGAGCAAUUGGAAGAAGAGAAUAUGCAUCUAAGAUUAGAAGCUGAUGUCUAGAGGUCAGAGGUUGAGAAGUGGAGGAAAGGAAAAACUAAGGCUGAAGAAGAUCUAGACAGCUUGAAAAUGUACUACAAGAAGUUAUGCCUAUCUAUGAGGACUGCGGGUUUAGGUAAGACUUCUGAACAAUGGCGCCAUGAAAUUUGGGAAGAAAAGGCCAAUACCGACCGGUGGGAAAGGAAAUUCUGAGAAGUUCAAGCACGAAACGAAGAUUUGGAGAAAAGUCUGUCAGAAAGCAGAAAUGAGCGAGGGGAAUUAAGGGCUAGAGUGGCAGAACUUGAGAAGUCCCUACAUCAGUACCGAAACCGCAACACUGUGACAGAAUUGAGGGCAAGCUUGACCAAAAUACAAGAAAUGAAAGGAAGAAUAGAAGAGUUAGAGGCGUCUCUGCAAAAUUGCGAGAUGCGGAUCCAGUUUUUUGAGGCAAAUGAGGAUCGUUGGAAGGAGCAGCUUCACCAUGCGCAAGACCAAGUCAGAAACAGAGAUUACCUUAUGGGGGAGGCCAUAACCCAGAUUCGGGAAGUAGCGGACUACUUGCAAACUUUAGCUAUUCAGGUGGACACAUUGAGUGUGAAGUACGAGUUGGAGUCGGAUCACGGACAAGAGCUGGCUUCGCUACUUAGAAAAAUUAGGACUUUGAGUGUUAGAGCGAAAUUUUAUUUGUAACUCGACUUUAUGUAAAAGAUUUUAUUUUCAAGUAAAAUUUUCUAAGGGCAAUUGAAUCAAAAGUUGAUGCCUCCUUUGCAUUCAUGCAUUUGCAUUUGCAUCAUAUCAUUAUGCAUUAAAGGCUAUAAGAGUUUUCUAAUUAAUUAACUAAAAAUUAUUUCAGUAAUCUGGAAACCAACGAAAACCAACCAACCACACAUCCCUAUGAUACAAGGAAAAAAUCAAUGGAUAAGAGACUCGAGAAAUUGGAGCAGAUGCAAAAAGACAUGCAAGAACAAAUGCAGUCUCAGAUGCAAGAGCAACUAGCCAAGAUUCAACGAGAGAUGAAAGAGCAAAUGAUGGAGUCCCAGAGGGAAAUGAUGAGUCAGUUAUCCCAAUUGCUAUUGGGAGGAAUAGAUAAGGGAAAGGGCCCCAUGGACAAAAUUAAAGAAACUAACGAAGAUCAUCAAUACCCUUCUAGCUUCGCUCCGACACACGUAUCGAUGAAGCCUGAGAUUAACCUACCGAAACCAUCUGUCACGAUCAUGCCCCAGCCAGUUCAAGCCAGAGCUUCAAUACUGAUGAACCUCCAAACCGGCUCAGGCUCUAACUUUGUCAACAACCCAAACUAUCCACCCGUUCCUGACUUGGAUGAAAUUGCUGAAGAAGAAAAGGCGAGGAUGGAUUCACAAAAACAAUUGGAAGAAUGGUGUAGAUGGCUUGAGGAGAAAUUCAAAGCCAUGGAGAGCGCGGACCAUCGUCAAGGGAUCGAUGCCAAGGACCUGAGUUUGGUCCCAGAUUUAGUCCUUCCCCCAAAUUCAAAAUGCCCGAAUUCAAAAAAUACAAUGGAACGAGCUGCCCUGAAGCCCAUAUCACUAUGUUCUGCAGGCGAAUGAUGGGAUAUGUUAACAAUGACCAGCUAUUAAUCCACUGCUUUCAAGAUAGUCUGGUCGGGGCGGCAUCUAAGUGGUAUAACCAAUUAAGCCGAGCUAAAAUUAAUUCAUGGAAGGACCUAGCUCAGGCCUUUAUGAAGCAAUACAGUCAUGUGACGGACAUGACCCCCGACAGAAUCACUCUUUAGAAUAUGGAGAAAAAGUCAAAUGAAAGCUUCAGGCAGUACGCACAAAGAUGGAGGGAGGUGGCCAUACAAGUUUAGCCACCACUUCUAAAAAAGGAAACAACGAUGCUCUUUAUAAAUACCUUGAAGGCCCCUUUUAUCACUCAUAUGUUGGGAAGCACCACCAAGAGCUUCUCUGACAUAGUGAUGACAGGGGAAAUGAUUGAAAAUACUGUGAGAAGCGGUAAGAUAGAAGCUGGAGAAAGUACUAGAAAGUUGAUCCCGAGGAAAAGAGACAAUGAAGUGAACAACACGAGCACAUCUAACAAAGGUCAGUCCAAGUCAUUCACCGUAAAUCAACCCAAGACGGUGACCACCAGUCAGCAAAGUUCUGUAAGACAAGAACCAACGCGAGGGAGAACACAGAAAGACCACAAUUCACCCCUAUACCCAUAACGUAUAGGGAGUUGUACCAAAACCUAUUCAACGCUCAUGUGGUCUCCCCUUUCUACCUGAAGCCACUGCAGCCCCCGUAUCCCAAAUGGUAUGACGCGAACACCCAAUGUGAGUACCACGCGGGAAUCACCAGGCACUCUAUCGAAAACUACGCUACGUUUAAAAAAUUAUUUGAAAAACUCAUUAAGAUGGGGAUAGUAAGAUUUGACGACCUAGCCACAUCCAAUGUAGCAGGAAAUGCGCUCCACAAUCAUACCAACCAAGGAGUGAAUGGGAUAUGUGAAGGCUUGAACAAGAAGACCAAGUAUGAGGUUGCGGAAGUCAGGACUCCGUUGAGGCGAGUAUGGAUGGAGAUGGUCAAGAGAAGAUUGAUCGCGUUGGAUUUGAGGGAAGAACCUGAAGAAGAGAGAAACUACUUUGAGUUUCACGACGAAGCGGGCAUGAAAUCCAAGAUUUCGUGGAGUUCAGGGCCCUAAUACAAAACAUGAUGAACAAUAAGGAAAUGGAAUUCUAUGAAGAGACCAAAGACCCCGUAGAGGGAAAUAUAUGUGCAUUAGAGGGAGGAUCGGCAGCGCAGAAUCAAACGAACAGCUACCUUGUGGUUAUCAUAUCGAGACCCAAAAAUAAUAAAGCUGAAGUACAAAUGCCACCGACGGUCAUAAUCCAAAGACCUGCAGUCUUUCCUUACAAGGACAACAAAAAGGUCCCAUAGAAUUAUGAUUGCAGUGUGACGAUGCUGGGAAAGGAGAGCCUGGUUGGCGCUUCAAGAGGGGAUCAAGACAGAGGUUCCUAUACACGUAGCGGGAGGCGUUACGAUAUGGUGAAUGAAGAGGAACAGCCCACAAAAGGAAAAGCCCAGGUGGUCGAGGAAAUGAAAGGAAAAGCAACCAAGCUUGUUAAUGAGCCACUUAACGAAGAGGAGGCUAAGGAGUUUUUAAAAUUCCUAAAGCAUAGCGAAUACAGUGUGGUGGAACAACUACGUAAACAACCAGCCUGCAUUUCAGUGCUAGCCUUGCUUCUAAGCUCGGAAGUUCAUCGUAGCGCACUAAUGAAGGUCUUAAACGAGACAUAUGUUGCCAAUGAUAUCUCCGUUAACAAGCUGGACUGGUUGGUGAGAAACAUAAGUGCCGACAAUUAUAUCUUCUUUAAUGAUGACGUGAUACCACCCGGGGGCAUGGGGUCAACUAAAGCUCUGCAUAUCACCAUACGCUGUAAAGGGUAUACGCUGCCAGGCAUACUGAUCGAUAAUGGAUCAGCCUUAAACAUCUUGCCAUUGACCACACUGAACAGAUUACCUAUAGACAACUCUCACAUGAAGGAGUGCCAGAACAUCGUGAAGGCAUUCGAUGGUACGGAGGAAAGGUGAUGGGCAGAAUCGAGGUACCUCUUCAGAUUGGCCUAAAUAUAUAUGAGGUGGAUUUUCUUGUGAUGGAUAUCAAGCCCUCAUACAAUUUCUUGUUGGGGAGGCCCUGGAUACAUUCAGCUAGGGCAGUGCCUUCCUCGUUGCAUCAAAAAUUGAAGCUAAUAUCGGAAGGGAGGUUGAUAACGAUCAAAGCUGAGGAGGAUAUUAUUGCAACUGUGAGCAAUAAUGAACCCUAUUUGGAGACGGAUGACGAAGCAAUCGAAUGUUAAUUUCAAUCUUUGGAAUUUGUUAAUGCAACAUUCAUCGCCGAGGGAAGCAAAAUUCUGGUACCGAAGUUGUCCAAAACCACGAGGAUGAGCCUCCAGUUGACAUUUGGAAAAGGGGCCCUACCCGGAAGGGGACUUGGGAAACAUCUACAAGGAAGGGUUGAAACGCCUAUGCUGAAAGACAAGAGAGACCGCUUCGGCCUAGGAUUUAAGCCGGAUGUCAAACAAUAGAGAAGGAAGCUGGAAAAGAAGCAAGAAAGAAGGAGAGCUCGAUUAGCGGGGGAGAAAAUCAAGUGGGAACCAAUGAUAUUCCCCCAUAUAUCGAAAACAUUUGCGUUUGGGGGAAUUAUUCACCCCGAGAGAGACACGCUAAUGACGGGAGCUAUAGAAAAAAGCCUGGAAAGUUUGGACAUCAACGUCAUGUACGAAGAGGAGACUGGAAGAGAAAAUUUGUCCGGCAUUUGCUUCUACACGCCUGGAAGUGUUCUGGACAACUGGACUGCGGAAGAGAUCCCUGUAGUUUUUAGGACAGAUUCAGAGUAAUGUCCAAAACACACUUAUUGCUCUAGGCCUAGGAGUAAUAAGAAUCUUUUGUGAAAUAGGCCGAGGUUUAAAAACGUUAUUUCAAUAAAAUGCACGGUUAUUAUCAUUUUUGAGCAAAUGUUCUCUCGUCCUCUCAAUUUCAUUCAUAACCAUACAAGUGAUUACUUUCGAAUUCUUUUAUCCUUGAAACAUUCUUCUAAAUAUUCUUUCAUUCGUCAUUCAUAAUCAUACCAUGCAAAUAAAUGUUUUGAAUUCUUUUGAUUCUUUGUAUCUGCCUUCAUCCUCAUAGCAGUUCCCCAGAUAUUAAUGAUACGAGUGACACUGCUAGACUCAGAAUUUCCUUUCGAGCAAGAUAUGAGUAUGGAUGAUUCUCAGGAUCUUGAAGAUGACGAAGGCUGUAACCUAUCUCUUGAUUUGUUGAGGAUGGUAGAACAAGACGAGAAACAAAUCCUACCUCAUAAAGAAUCAGUUGAAAUUGUGAGCUUAGGAGAAGAACAAGAGGUGAAGAUCGGAACAUGUAUCACUGCGGAAAUGAAGCGAGACCUCAUUGAACUACUUCAAGAAUUCAAUGAUAUCUUUGCCUGGUCAUACCAAGAUAUGCCUGGGUUGGACACUGAUAUCGUGGUGCAUCGACUUCCCAUAAAAAAGAGUGUAAGCCAGUUCAGCAAAAACUCCGAAGAAUGAGGCCCGAUGUCUUGCUAAAAAUAAAGGAAGAGGUUCGAAAGUAGUUUGACGCUGGAUUUCUGAAGGUGGUAAAAUACUCAGAUUGGGUAGCCAACAUCAUCCCUGUCUCUAAGAAAGAUGGAAAAGUGCAAAUGUGUGUGGACUACAGAGAUUUGAAUAAAGCCAGCCUAAAAGACAAUUUCCUACUGCCUCAUAUUGACACCCUGGUGGACAACACAGCGAGACAUUCACUGUUUUCAUUCAUGGACGGUUUUCCAGGAUAUAACCAGAUCAAGAUGCAUCCUGAAGAUAUGGAGAAAACCACAUUUGUAACCAUAUGGGGCACGUUCUGCUACAAGGUGAUACCAUUUGGACUGAAGAAUGCGGGGGAAACUUAUCAAAGACCCAUGGUAACCCUUUUUCACGACAUGAUGCAUAAAGAGAUCGAGGUUUAUGUCGAUGACAUGAUCGCAAAGUCUCGAACAGAGAAGGAUCACAUUCAAGUCUUGAAGAAAUUGUUCUCGAGGUUGAGGAAAUUCCAGCUAAAACUCAACCCCGCCAAAUGUACAUUCGAGCCAAGUUUGGAAAAUUGCUCGGAUUUAUGGUUAGCGAGAAAGAAAUCAAGAUCAAUCCAGACAAAGUUAAAGCCAUACAAGAGCUAUCCCUGCCGGGUACCCAGAAGGAGGUUCGAGGUUUUCUAGGAAGAUUAAAUUACAUUGCUCGGUUCAUCUCACAACUGACCGAGAAAUGUGACUCUGUCUUUCGCCUCCUCAAGAAACAUAAUCCAGGAGAGUGGGAUAAAAAAUGCCAAAGGGCUUUCGACAAGGUCAAACAGUACUUAUCUAAUGCCCCGGUGUUGAUGCCACCUAACCCCGAUAAGUCAUUGAUACUGUAUUUGGCAGUAUUCAAAAAUCCCAUGGGAUACGUAUUGGGUUAGCAUGAUGAGUCAGGAAGGAAAGAGAAGGCCAUUUACUAUCUUAGUAAAAAGUUCACAAAAUGUGAGACAAGGUACCCACCGAUAGAGAAGUUGUGUUGUGCCCUAAUUUGGACAACCCGAAGACUGAGGCAGUAUAUGUUAUAUCACACCACUUGACUUAUCUUAAAAUUGGACCCCUUAAAGUACAUGAUUGAGUCAACAGCCUUGAAUGGAAGGAUGACCCGAUGGCAGAUUCUACUUUCUGAAUUCGACAUAGUCUAUGUGAACCAGAAAGCGGUAAAAGGAAGUGCAAUAGUAAAUUUCCUGGCCAGUAAAGCUUUGGAAGACUACGAGCCUUUGAACUUCGACUUUCCGAAUGAAGACCUAAUGUGUGUUGCUGCCACUAAAGUGGGUGCUCUUAAAGAACUUCCAUGGAAAUUGAAUUUUGAUGGGGCGUCAAAUGCUGUGGGCAAUGGAAUCGGGGCCGUCUUAGUAUCCCUAAACAGAUAUCAUUAUCCAUUCACUAGUAAGUUGGAUUUUGAUUUUACGAAUAAUAUGGCGGAAUACGAGGCGUACAUCAUGGGAGUCUGCACAGCCAUAAAACGCAAGAUUAGAGUGCUAAAAGUGUAUGGGGAUUCCGCGCUAGUGAUUUAUCAACUCAAGGGAGAAUGGGAGACCAGAGACCCCAAGUUGAUCGACUAUCGAAAACUAGUCCUUAAAUUGGUUAAAGAGUUUGAUGACAUUACCUUCCAUUACCUUCCACGAGACGAAAAUCAGAUGGCUGAUGCUUUGGCUACCUUAGCCUCCAUGAUCAAGGUAAACAAACAAGAAGAUGUCAAACCCAUCCGGAUGAGCAUUUAUGAAAUUUUGGCCCACUGUUACAAUAUUGAAGAAGUUGAAGAAAGAGAUGAUCACCCUUGGUAUCACGAUAUAUUGCAAUACGUGAAGAAUCGUGCAUACCCGGGCUAGGCAAGAGAGAAUGACAAAAGAAUGCUAAGAAGACUGGCCAUCGACUAUGUCUUAGAUGGGGAUAUAUUAUACAAAAGAAGAAAGGAUCAAGUGCUAUUAAGAUGUGUAGAUGUUGUAGAGGCUAAUAAAAUCUUGAAAGAAGUCCAUGAAGGUGUCUGUGGGACACAUGCUAACGGUUUUACAAUGGCCAGCCAAAUUAUGAGAUUCGGGUACUAUUGGUCCACCAUGGAAGGAGACUGUGUCAAUUAUGCUAAGAGAUGUCAUAAGUGCCAAAUCUACGGAGACAAAAUUCAUGUGCCUCCUUCACCGCUGCAUGUCAUGGUUUCUCCAUGGCCAUUCUCUAUGUGGGGCAUGGAUGUGAUUGGACCAAUAUCGCCGAAAGCUUCUAAUGGGCAUCGGUUCAUCUUCAUGGUUAUCGACUACUUCACCAAGUGGGUAGAAGCCGCUUCGUAUGCUAGUGUGACCAAGUCGGCAGUGAGCAAGUUUCUGAAAAAGGAGAUUAUAUGUCGAUAUGGAAUGCCGGAGAGGAUUAUAUCUGACAAUGCAUUAAACUUGAACAAUAGUACGAUAGCGGAAGUCUGCAGUCAAUUCAAGAUCAGACAUCACAACUCGUCACCGUAUCGCCCAAAGAUGAAUGAGGCAGUGGAAGCGGCCAAUAAAAAUAUUAAGAAAAUUGUGGGGAAGAUGACCGAAACCUACAGAGACUGGCAUGAGAAGUUACCAUUUGCCCUAUUCGCUUAUUGAACGUCAGUCAGAACCUCAACUGGGACAACCCCUUUCUCUUUGGUCUACGGAAUGGAAGCAGUGUUGCCAAUCGAAAUCGAGAUCUUGUCUCUUCAAGUGUUGUCGGAGUUAAAGUUAGAAGAGGCUGAGUGGAUCCAGUCUUGAUAUGAUCAAUUGAACCUAAUUGAGGAAAAGAGGUUAAGAGCUAUUCGCCAUGGUCAGAUGUACCAAAAACAAAUGAUGCGGGCUUAUGACAAAAAGGUUCGCCCUAGAGAAUUCCACGAGGGAGACUUGGUAUUGAAAAAGAUCCUUCCCAUGCAGAGGGACUUUCGAGGGAAAUGGAUGCCUAAUUGGGAAGGGCCUUACGUAGUGAAGAAAGUUUUCUCUGGAAGAGUAUUGAUUCUAGCCGAGAUGGACAGUAGAAACUUACCCAAUCUUGUAAACUCGGAUUUGGUCAAGAAGUAUUUUACCUGAAGAAAGAGAGGCCAAAGUGAAAACCCGCAAAGGGCACUCUGAAAUCCAAAAAAAAUCAUGGAGAGGCCAAGGUGAAAACCUACAAAGGGCACUUUGGAACCAAAGGGGCUUUUGAGUUGAAAACUCGAAAACGGGCAGCUCAAAUUUUGAAUAUGGGGCAUAUGAUAAUAUUGUCCUUCCAAAAUCAACAAGACAGAAGAAUAGUACACCUUGGAGCAUCAACAAAAUACGCAGAAUCUCCUGAAUACACAUUUGGUUCGAAGGAGCCUUUGAGAAAUUAGAAUAGUGAAACUCGUGCUGCGAUAUCUGGGGCACCUUUUUCUCAUUUUUUGCACCUUAUCAGAUUCGUUAUCAUAUGUAUUCACAUCAAAUUUUGGUCCGUUAUGAUAAUCUCUUUCGAGCAUUUUUGUUGAAAUCGCGAUUUUUUGAACAUGUAAUAUUCACACAAAAGAUGUUAUGCAUAUUACUCUGGAAAGUCUCUAAAUGGUAUAGGGAUCCGAAACAGGGCCACUAGUCAGGACUAACCAGGUUCAAAACAUCAGAAAAAGAGUAGUCCAAACUAGGACUAUUUAUUCAAAUUUUCUGUCAGAGAUAAGGGCUAAGUAGGAAGACGCGAUAACACAUCAAUGAUAGAACCCAGAUGAAUUAUGAACAAUGACACCUUAAGCGUUUAAAAAAAAGAAUCACUCUCAUGACAUUUCUACAUCCAUAAUCAUUCAUUUAAUUAGGAGCACUUGAGUCAUUUCGAUCAAAGCUUUCUGAUUAUUUGACAUAAACGCCACAUCAAGUUAGGGGCAUUUGAUUCAUCUCGAUCAUAGCAUCCUAGUUACUUGACAUACACAGAUAUAGGAAACCCAUUCUACACAUCAUGUCUUUAGAAGACAGUGUAGCGAUAUUGGCAAAUCCUGCAGAUUUGGCAUCUCUGAAUUGUCAGAGAGCAGAUUCGAAGAUAGCAAAUUUGGCGUCUCUAUAUUGGCAGAGAGUAGAUCAAAGAUAGCAGAUUUGGCGUCUCUGUAUUGGCGGAGAGCAGAUCGAAGAUAGCAGAUUUGGCAUUUCUGUAUUGGCGGAGAACAGAUCGAAGACAGCAAAUUUGGCGUCUCUGUAUUGUCAGAGAGCAGAUUCGAAGAUAGCAGAUUUGGCAUCUCUGUGUCGGCGGAGAGCAGAUCGAAGAAAGCAGAUUUGGUAUCUCUGUAUUGUCUCAUGUCUUUAGAAGACAGUGUAGCGACAUUGGCAAAUCCUGCAAAUUUGGCAUCUCUAUAUUGUCAGAGAGCAGAUUCGAAGAUAGUAGAUUUGGAGUCUCUGUAUUGGCGGAGAGCAGAUCGAAGAUAGCAGAUUUGGCAUCUCUGUAUUAGCGGAGAGCAGAUCGAAGAUAGCAGAUUUGGCGUCUCUGUAUCGGCGAAGAGCAGAUCAAAGAUAGCAGAUUUGGCAUCUCUGUAUUGUCAGAAAGUAGUUUCGAAGAUAGCAGAUUUGGCGUCUCUGUAUUGACGGAGAGCAGAUCGAAGAUAGCAGAUUUGGCGUCUCUCUGUUGGCGAAGAGCAGAUCGAAGAAAGCAGAUUUGGCACCUCUGUAUUGUCAGAGGGCAGAUCGAAGUCAGUAGAUUUGGCAUCUCUGUAUUGGCAGAGAGCAGAUCGAAAAUAACAGAUUGGUGUUCCCGAGUUUUUAAGAAGCAAGUUGAGGAUAGCCAAUUUAACACUCCUGAAGACAUCAGAAUACCUUUGGGGAAGAGGAGGGUCAAAAUUUUGAGACUUAGCCAGACCGGGCAAAUUUGGUCCUUUUUAUAGUCUUUGCUCUAUUCUCGUUGCACGACAAUGAGCAAAGAGGGGCAGCUAUAAAUAGGCCAAUUUGCCCGGCCCCCUUUGAAACCCAAAUAUAAAUAUUAACAGUCCAAAGUCCAAAUAAUUAUAAUAGUCCACGGGCCAAUAACCAAUCAAAGCCAAAUUACAAGACCAGAACUUAAACCUUAUAACAGUCUAUUAACAGGCUUUGACCCAAAGUAAAACACUAAUACCUAGACCCAAUAACUAAUGCCCCACAACCAAUACCCAAUCCCCAAAUUAACCCGAGACCCAAAAUUACAUUGGCCCAAAUGGCCCAGAAAUUUUAGAACCCUAGGGUUCUUUCCCAUGCGCCGCAACCAGCCAAGCCUCAGCACCUCCGUACACUCCAGUCUCCAACAACCAUGCCUACACAGCCCCGUACGCCUCACGCCAAGGGCCAGUGCAUGCCCGUACUCUACUUGCAAGAAGGACAAUCCACACAGCAGCAAACACGAACAAAAUAGCAGAAUAGCAAAUGAAAAUGGCAUUUUUAAUUUAUUUUCCUUUUUUCUUUUUUUCCUUCGGCUAUAAAGCCAUAGUUCUUAGU